AAAAAUCUUAAUUAAAGAAAAGAAAAAGAAAAAGGGGAAGAGGUGUAGGAUACCGAACUUCUGAAAAUAGGAAGUUACGGUAGGAUAGUAUGUCGGAGUUUAUUAUAAAAAUAAAUAUAAAUAAAAAUAGUGUGAGAUACUAUUUUAUUGGACUCAUAGAAGUAAUGUAUAAGUUGGAAAUGACCUGUGCUGAAAUCGGAGCGAAAAUCGAAGAUUUAGAAUUUUCUGUGAGGAAUGGGGCAGAUAAAUUAGCAGAAAAUACACAGUGUCAGAAAAUUAUGAAAACUGGAGGAUAUGUCAGAAUUAUUUUUAUGAGGCUAGAUUUAAAGUUUCAGCNUUUAUACUUGUGCCUUGCUCUUACUUGUUAGCACUUGUUGUGCUCUUGUGAUUGUGUACUUAUGAAUUGAUUCCUGGGUAAAUUCUUGUACAUGAUCGUUUGCUUAGCCUUGGGCGGACAGGGGAGACUCUGUCCGUUCGGCGUCUGUUCGACGCGCUCGAACCGGACCAAAUUGAUAGCGGUCUCGGGGCGUGACAAGAGGAGAGCUCCCUCACCUUCUUUUCCACUGCUGGCAAGCCCAGGAAACACCAAGGGGCGCGGGGUGUAUUUGUAAUGAUGCUGCAAUAGCAAAAACACCCCUGCAGUUCACACUGCUCAAAACUGCCACUGCGUACAGGUACACGGGUCCACGUACCGGUACACAUCCCACGAAAUAGCCAAACCCGAGCCUCGGGUUGGCUGGGAAGCUGCUUGUGUACCGGUACACGAUCCCGUACCGGUACAGCCAUCAACUCUGUACCGGUACACAGCCCAAUGAAGGCUACUCGAGAGCUAACCAAAAAUUCGAUUUUUCGGGUUUUGGUGCUAGGCUUCAAAUCUCCAUUCUCGGGACUCGAGCCAUAGGUCGGAACACUGUCUACGACCCAUCAGAAAGUCUGGAAAAACUCAGGACACCGUCCAAACACUCGAACCUUGCAAUUUGCAAAUGUCCAGUGUGUUACAUUCUUCACUCCUAAAAAGGAGUUUCGUCCGCGAAAUUGCUGGUCAACUACAACAAACCUAUCCAAAGAGGAUGGAAGAAGCGCUCUAGUAGCGCACCAAACAGACCAUGGUGGUCUCAAGUAUGCCGGAAAACCCCAAGGCACAAACACAACAAGAUCUCGCGACGCCAAGGCUUUGGCAUAACACAACCCAAACUUUCGCAUAAGCUCCUUGAACUCAAACCUUCACCGAAAGUUCCAUCUCUAAUCCGCACUUGAUCGACACGUCCAUCAGUUGGUCCUCACGAACCCAAGUGUUUCCGAAAGUUGAAUUUCAACUCUCACCUUUCUCGUCCAUGUCGAGGGUAAAGCAUUACUCUGCUUCAAUUACUCUAAUAUAUAGAAUUCCAUCCAAAUACCCCUCAAGGGUAGAUUCCAUGGUGCUAACCAAAGCAAGCGUCAGGGGGGGUUAAAUCCAUUACUCAUCUAUCGGAACUCCAUCGGAGUGCUCAUCUGAUCAACACUCACCAAGGAGAGGUGAUGCAACAUCCACUCAUCGGCUCAUAUUCCAACGAUGAUCCUUCAAAUCCAAGGUCAACUCUCUUCUCGAGAUGGCACAACUGAGUGCAAUUCAAUCCAAGGUUAAGUAUGGUGUACCCCCUUCCAUCUCAUUGCUAAUUGCAACUUCCACCUAUCCAUCCAAUCUUGCUUGGCACGAACGGUUCUAAACCAACAUCCAAGGUAGCCAACCUUCCAAUAGUAACAGGAACCGACGAAUCGUCCAACUCGCUCACCAAAGGUGAUCACUUGAUUCCUCAAUCGGUACGGCGAUACGAUGUCUCCACAUCAAUCUCAAACUCACCACUCGGGAGUACCCUCAAAUCCACUGCAAAACGGGGUCAGGAACUAAGCUCAAAGGCUUCAUCAAUGCACUAAGAUCAUCAUAAUAGUCCCAACUCAAGUCCAAGUAAACUCUUGCAAGCCUAGGCCAAGGGCCUAGCUUCGACAGAAGGUCCAUAACAUGACCGCUCGAAAAUUUUUGAUCUCAAUGCUUUUCCUAGCAUUGGAUGCUCCAGGUGUCCAUAGCCAUCGAGUUCAGUUCACGCGAUAGAGAGGGAUCAAGCCACAGUUCAGUAAUAACUCUCUAUCAAAGUCAUCCUGAAGCGACUGUCAAGCCAAAAUCCAUCCAAUAAGUCCUCAUAUGCAGCUCUAUCCCAAAGGGCUCAAAUCCUUGUACACGCUCCUGACAAGGGAAAUUAGUAACUUGGUACCUUCUUUCUCGCGAGUCCUCCAUCCAUCAGUGAGAGUCCCCCAACUCGAUCACUUCGAACCUGCCUACGCAGUCCAAACUCGCACUUCCUAAAAAAAAAAGGAAAUAUCCUAGGCCAUCCUUGACUGGUUCCACAAAUCCAUCCAGAGGGCUUGGGACUAUCGCUCAACAAGUCCUUAACACUGGUGGAGUACAAUAGGCUUAGGCAACAUCAUCCUCGUGAUGUCCCCACCUAGCAUCACUAUCCGUUGGAGGUACGACCUCAAACUCCAACAUCAAACAGUACUACUUAGUUUGCUUACAAUCUUAUCGAGUACACCAACAACUUAAGGCCAUUUGACAAAGUCAAUGAGCCUCAGCACGGUCCAAACACCCAAUCGUGGUUAAAUUUGAAUCACGAUAGUCGACAUACAGUCAAAAUGACCCAACUGGUCCCAUAACAAGUGAGAGGGCUUCUCCACGAAGCAAAACACUAACUAUAAAACCACCCCGCCAAUCGAGCUCACGAUUUGUGACUCGGUCGGGGACACAACGACGGAUCAAAGACAUCCUUCAUUUCAAGGAUUCUCAAUCAUCAAAAGCUAAUGGCCAAAUAGGCCCCAAAUCCUCUCCAACACUUACCCAAUUUUAGGUAAGGGAGACAGUCAACGCAACCAGCGGAAUUAAAUCCUCAAAUUGCACUAUUUCGUGCUCAAGGUCCUCAAGGCGAGUCAAGUCAGCUCGCUAUCCAAGGGUACCAGGUACCCACAACAACUCCACACCAAAAAAGGCCAAUCUAUUUGUUGGCACACAGAACCAUCUCAUAUGGUAGGGCGUUCGAAACGACACACCCGAUCAACCGAUCAUCUACACGCGCCGAAAUGUUCAACACUACAACUCCUCGGGUUGGGUCACUACAAACUCGGUGUGUCCUUGAUCUCACGAUCCAACACGUGGCUUUCCACGCUCCAGGGUCUACGCUCGGACUACCGUCCUGACCAAAACUCUGCCCUACCCGUAGGUACCAGGCCGCUGUCACACACAGCCGACUGCGCCUACCCAACGGGCCCAGGCUCCACAGUCCCCAAAUGGUCCAGGUACGGUCGUCUCCAAGCACCACUCGGCAAGCAGCCAAUCUAGGGAUGCAACUUAUGCUAUCCUCGUGAGAUCUGCAAGCAUAGCAAAACAUGCUUCCCACAACCCGCAGAUCAACCGCCUAGCUCGAUGGGCUACACAAUGUCGCAAACAGCGAACUAACAAAAUGCUAUGCAACUCGGCGAGUAGCCGAUCAUAGAUGCAAUGCACCAGUAACCAAUGAUGCACAACUCAAAUGCCACAAACGAGACUGAUACCUGUAGUCACAAACUCGGCCGCUGCUGCCUCCUCCGCCUGGGCCACGUACAGGCGCCCGCUCGGAGCCCGUUGUAGUGUUCUUGACCUUUGGAUAGGAUUGGCUUCAGUAUUAGUGACUGGUCGACAUCUCUGGAGAGUGUCGGACUGAGUCGGAGUCAAUUCUGCACGAAUUGGAUGCAGAAUUGGACUCGGCGCACUCAAAUAGGCAAAACUCAAGUUUUGCCAGAUUCGGGCGCCCAGAACAUAGUUCCGGGCGCCAUAAAUGCCCGUUUCUGCAGGGACACUGGAUAGCAGCUUGAGUUCCUGGGGCUGUCUGGAUCAUUUUAACUCUCUAUAAAUAGAUGGAAUACGCCCCUUUGCUGCUCUUUUCCUCCCUUCUUCACAGAGAAGUCCCUUUUAGCAUCUCUACCCUCGGAUUUGCCUCAAAUUGCAUCAAACUUCCAUUGAUCCAGCUUGAGAGAGUGCUGAUUCUGCAGUUCUUCAGCGGCGACCUCUAGUGUUUUGGCUCGUGCGCGACGUAGGAAGGUCGGAUUUCGACGAAACUUGGUUUUCUGGAUUCUAGACUUCCAGAGGAAUCCACGAAGCCCUGAAUUGUAGAUUUUGGUUGAGGUUAGCUUGGUCGAAUUGAGGUUUUUCUGGACUGCUGUUGGCUUUGAGCUGAAAAUGGGAUUUUUGAGUUUUUCUUGAUGUUAACUUUGUUGGCAGUGGGAUUUUGGACCUGAGAUUGUUCACCCAUUAGUAGUUGCUGGAUUUGGAUCUGUCCUCACCCGAUUUGGAGAUCAUUAGGUGAGUUUUGACAUUGGAAUGGAGAUAAUUAAGCUUAAGUGCUGAAAUUUUGAUAAAUUGAUGGUUUUUAUUGGAUUUUUGGGUGAAUUGUAAAUCCAGAUCUUGAGGGGCUUUGUUGCUGGUUUGGAGGUGUUUCCAGCAGUGUUGCUUGUGAUCCGAGACCAUCUUGCUGCCAGGAAUUGCACUAGAGGUGGGUGUAUCAUCGGUUUCGCUCCUAAGUGCAUGUUUAGUCGACGUGUAUAGUUCGAUUUUUGUAUAUCAUGCUUUAAUUCAUCGAUUAGUAUUUUGAAUGUAAUAUGAAUGUAGAAGCAUGCUGAAAUGAAUGUUUAUAUUAUACAUGUUGGACUUGAAAUUUGACUUAGGAGAAAACCUGCGUUUUGACCCGUCAUAUGCUUAAACUACCAGAUUUAGCUCUAGGAGCCGUGAUUCGAUUGUAUCGUUGCAGUAUCAGUGCGAUGGAUACCUGGGGUAGUUUAGAAAGCAUUUACGCUCGUGCUGGGGUGCCGAGCUUAUUUUUUAGCAGAGUAUAGGCUGUUUCGGGUCGUUGGGUGCCGUUCGGGUUAGCGGUGGACCCAGAUUCUUGUUUUGGUCACAGAUUGUGCCGAGGGCACGUGGGUUUGGUUUGUAGACCUGUUUUGACCCUGUUUACUUGACUUUGGCUAGUUGGAGCCUGUUUGAGCUCGACAGAGAUACGCUGCAUACUCGGUUGGGUAGUGCCCACGAGUGCCACUCCGGAGUCAGGCUUUGUGCUUUCGCGUUGGUGUCGCUCAUGCCGGUUGGACUUGCUCUCCACGGACCAGUUGUGUGGAUAGAGCCUGAUAGUUGCAACUGGGCAGGGACAGGUGUGUUCACAGUCCCAGGGACGGGUAUGUCUACAGUCCCGAUUGGAUUGGAUCAGAUUUGAUAUUUCCUACAGUUGGUUAGUGUAGAGCAUGAUAGUAUAGUGAUUCGUAGCGGUUGAGUUUAUUUCCUGCUUUUUGGCUAUUCUUGCUCCCUUCUGUAGACUUAGUGGGUGGACCGAUGUUGUUUUGGGCGGUACCCACUGAGGACUACUUGUUUUUACAGUAGUUCUCAUGCCCAGUUGUUAUCCUUGUUUUGCAGAGCCACAGGUUUCGGCUGCUGCGCCUUCCGCGGAUCAGGAUCGAGGCAAGGGCGUCGCGAGUUAGAGCCCUACACGACGUGCUGAGCUAGAGGUGCCCCUACUGCAGGUAGAUGUUUUGUUUCGAGUUUAUGUACAUAGUGGACUUAACUCGCCAGUGCGAGUAGCUUUGUAUUUUGGAUUUGGACUAUGUAUAUGAAACUCAGUUUGUUUAGCUUCUGUUUUCUCUAGUAGCUCUUUACUACUGUUCGUAGUAGUGUUUGAUUUACAGGUACAGCUAUCGCUUCGUAUACAGGGAAAAUUCCUUUGUAUACGGCGGAUUUGUCGGCGCACCCUGGGGAAAGUGUAAUCCGGGGCGUGACACCCGUCGUGACCCAUCCGUCUGUCUCUGGACCGGUGGCCUCCCGGCCUGAUAGUGGGCAGAAGACGUCCCCUGGCUGGGACCCGGUAAUACUGGUGCCGAUGCUGAAGGUGGCGCUGAUACUAAACCCCUCGAACAGUCUGACAGGAAGUGACCCUCCUGGCCACACGAGUAGCACCUGCCCUGCCUCUGUGAGCACUGCUGCGGGUAAUGACGACCACCGCAGAUCACGCAGCUCAGAGUCUGACGACGCUCGGAUCCUCUAUGCCGUGCUGAUGAGCCACGUCCUCGCGACUGGCUCCGGUUCCUGGAAUGUCUCGGCGGCCUCCCAGAGUGCGUCUGACUCGCACCCUCAGCCGCGGGCCUCUUGCCUUUUUCUUUGUUCGAGCCUUCUCGACGCUCCCGCAAGUCUGUCGCGCAGCUUUCCACGAUGAGAGCGCGGUUCACCACAUCUUGGUAAGUCUAAAGGUUGGAGGGUUGCACCAUCUGAAAGAUCGACGGCCGAAGUCCUCGCUCGAAGAUGCAAGCCUUAUCCUCGUCGUCCCGCACAACAAAGGGCGCAUAGUGUAGAAGCCGAGAGAACUCCCUCUCGUACUCGGCCACAGUCCGAUCCCCCUAGCGCAUCUCGCGCAGAUCCUACUCCAUUUUUCUCUUAACGUGGACGAGGAAGUAAUGCUCCAAUAAGAGCUCCUUGAAUCUCUUCCAAGAAAUCGCUGCUAGGUCAGUGUUGGGAUUAUCCUGGAUACCCACCCACCAGCUAUAGGCGUCGCAGUCCAAAUGGUGAGUGGCGAGCCAAACUCUAUCUCUCUCCUCCACGAAAGUGUCGUGGAAUAACUUCUCCAUGUGCAUCAACCACUUCUCAACAAUCCAGUGGUCGGCUUUCUCUCCAUCAAAGAUCCUGGGGUCGCACCUCCUGAACUCGUUGAGGCGAUCCAUGAGCCGCUGCCGCUCGGCUCCUUUAACCAUCAAGGGAAAAGUCGCCGCUGCUACAGGCACCUGAGCUGGUGGUGCUGCCAAUACCUCCUCCCGAGGGGCUACCACAAGUGUCGUCUGCGAAGGGUCGAGUACAGGGAAUGACCCCUCGGGCGCAACUGUCUCAACUGGCGCGGGUAGUACCGGGACCCGGGCCUCUCUGACAGCUGCCUGCUGCAAUAGAAGAUCCUCCAGGCGCUGCAUCCGUGCCUCCUGCCGGCGUGCCGUAUCCGCCUGCUGCUGAGCCGCCGCCGCCUGCUGCGUCACCAAAUCAGUGAGGGCGGCAAGUUGGCUCCUCAACUCACGGACCUCACCGGAUCCGGAGGUAGCGGAUGUCUCCGCUCCCUCAAAAGGCGCCGCAUCGUCCGCUCUAAUAGACUUAGAGCAUGUAGUCGGCAUCAACACUACAACAUCAUAAAAGCGCAAGUUAAUAUAACCCACGCUAUCGCAUAAAGUAAACUAAUAUAUCAGGUAAAGUCAAAAGAAAACAAUACUACUAAAGCAUAAAGUAAACUAAUAUAUCAUAAAUCUCAAGAUACAAAAAUAGGGUGGUCUCUAUAACGAGGUACAAAACUCUCACAACCUCUCCAAAGAAAACAGAAGAGAGAUGGACCACCUAUCGCCAAAUCCCUCGAUAGCUAGCUCGAGGCAAAACCUUUCCCGCGAUCCCGAGCCUCUCCCGAAGUGGAAGGCUCUGAAAGAAAACAUAAAACAGGGAGCGUGAGAACUAUAAAUUAUAGUUCCCAGUGGACAAUUACUGACCUGCACCAACUGCACCACUAGGCCCAAAAGAGAGCAGAUAAGGUUAAUAGAAAUUAACUGCGGUAAAUAAAGCAUAAAGAUAAAAUGCUACACUAUUAUGCCACAAGUAUGUAAAAUGUCAACAUGGAGUACAUCUACUCUACAUGAUCCAGUAUGCCGAUACUUAAACAAGUAUGCUAUGAUGCAACAAAUAAUACUAUGAAGUAUAAUAAAUGCCCCAAAGCCAACUACAUAUCGAGUAUGUACUAUCAUGGCAACCAAGUAUACUACAAUGCAACGAGCGAUACCGUCAAAUAUACUAUAUAUCUCAAUGCCCAACCCUAUGCCAUAGCAUGUCAAGAAAUCCAACUACUAUAACCUGUCUAGUAGUGAUUAUGAACUUGUUGUUUAAUAUUCGGAUUCAAUCUCAUUUAGGACCUACACAGUUGUGGUCUGGCUUGUGCUGCCUAAGUGCCAGUGAUAGCUCCAGCAUUCCCACUCUAGGAAUGAGUCUAACCCUCCAGGCCCCGUAGGCUACUCGAUACCGCACAAGCAAACAUAAGUUGCGUAGGCUAACUCCGGAGUGCCGGCUUGUAGGGAGCGACCGGUACAAGCAUGUGUGAAUGAGCACAAAUGUCAAACAAGCAUGGUCAUCGUCUCAAGUACCCAAUCAUCAUGUCUCUAACAUGGUAACAGUCACUAGCAACCCAAAGGUCUAGUACUAUGUCUCAAUGUGAAGGUUUAACCAUUCAAUAGUUUUCAGGUCAAUGAGCUUAGCUUUACUAAGUCCAAAUCGCAAGAUGAUGUUCCAACAUUCACUAUGUUUGGUGCCUCUUUAUGACACUUAAACAUUUUUAUAAUCCAAGCACAUUACACAUUCUAUAUCUCUUUAUGACAUUAGCUUGUACUAUCAAUAAUAGGUUAAUACACAUGCUCUCUAGCGUGUUCUCAGAUCACUACAUGCAGGUUCUUCCCAAUGCAACUAUCAACUUUGCAUAAUUCUCAUAAUAAUAUUAUGCACAUACCAUUCACAUAUCCAUCAAGUCUAAUGCCGCUUUAUGACAUUAGCUUGCUAAGUCCAUUUCUAGUCCAAGCCUAAUGCCACUUUAUGACAUUAGCUUACUAUUUGUAUACACUCCAGUCUAUGUCACUUCAAUGAUAAUAUGUCUAACCAUGUCAAGCAUGCGUUCUAAGUCCAAGAGUGUAAUCUAUAUGCCAUAUGCACCAUAUGCAACAUGAUCUCAAACCAAUAUUAGAAUGCUAAUCAUAUGCAAAGUUUCAAGUUUGAACAGUUCUCUACUAUAUAGAGGGCCACUAUACUUUAUACAUAGUAUGCACAUAUUAAGCAUUCUAAAAUUCUCAAAUAUUCCAUCUAGUAAGAAUAUGCAUGCUUUUUCAUUUUAUAACACUUAAAUCAUCAACAAUGAGAUUUUCUCAUUGUGUGGCUAGGUCAAACCCACCGAACCAUCGCGUAGUCCUUCCUUUCGCCGAACGGAGUUGUCCACGAGUCUCAAAAUACCCUAAAGGUAAUGAGCGAAGGGAUACACAAGUAUUACGAACAACUAUAAGAUCAAACAUUAACCAUCAAGGCAAAAGGGCUAAAAUCUCACCUAUGGAGUAGAAAAUCUUUCCCAAGCUCCAAAAAAGAGCUAAAUCCCUUUCAAUCCAACCCAAAGGAAGAUUCUAAUCCAAUCAAUUGAGCUCCAAAAGCCCUAGAUCAAAAAUCCCAAAACAAAUCCUAAAUCCUCAUUUCUAGGGUUUCUGUACAAAAAUCAUGAAAAUCAUGAAAUAAAGGAAAAUAGUAAGCAACUAACCUCUAAUGAAGCCUCAAACAAGGUUCAAAAUCCACAAGGGUCGAAGAUCUCACCUCCAAUGAGCUCAACUCCAAGCUCCCAAGCUUCUCCCAUGGUGGAAAAGUCACCAAAAGGCAAAAAUAGAGCAAAAGUAAAUAAAAAAAAAACUUUUGAAGUUGAAGGAUCAAUUUUAAUAUGACUUAUAGAUGAUGAGUUACUAUAUAUUUUUAUCCUAAUGAAACUCUAGCUGCCUCUCUUACUCAUUACUUUUUUUCUAAUUUUUUUACUCUUUGUUUUUUACUCUUUUUAUUUUCAUUUUAUUUCCGCCAACAAUAUUUCAUUGUCAACAAUAUAGUUUGUCUAUUGACUAUUUAAUAAAAUUUAUAAAAAAUAUAUAUUUAUACGGAUAUCCGUACCCGAUGUAGACCCGAUCCAUAUCCGGUCUUGAACGGGUAGUAUACGGGUCGUCACUAUUCAGACCCGCUCAAAUAGAUCCAAUGGGUAUAUUAGUAACUUUAGUACCCGACCCGGACCCGGCCCGAAGUUAAAUGGGUAGGGUAUAUAUAUUUUUUUGUAACCAUUUCUUUUUAGUGUAUGGAUAUAGUAUAUUAAUUAUCCAAACCCGACCCGGUUCACGGAUAUCUUUAUGUCCAAGCUUGGCGGGGUUAUGGAGCGACAGGUGUUGCGGACACGCGUCCGCCUGACCGCCCCGGUUGCCGGUCCACUUCCACCCCCCGGGGCCCCGAAGAACACAACAUAGUUAGUUAAUUCGCGAAUUAUUCGCGAAUAAUUCGCGAAUUUUUGAAAAAGCCGAAUAAAACAGCCGUUUUCAUGUUUUUUUCAAAAAUUCGGGAAAAUUCGUGUUUUUUUUUGGCUAAAAAUAAUUAUUCACGAAUUAAACGCGAUUUGCGAAUAAUUCGGCCCAACAGCCCGGUUGCAGGUUGCUGUGAGCCUGCGACGCAGAGUAGCGGAGUCGGACUCGGGCCUCGCGGGUGGCCCAAAAGAGGAAAAAAAAUCAUUUCUGUGUCUGUCGCCCAAAAGGCCAAAAAAGAAACAAAAAAAAAUCCUCUCUUUCAGACUGGCCCCCCACCCGCCCCCCCCAACCCACGAGUCCCACUCCUAUCCAUAGUUAGUUAAUUUGCGAAUUAUUCGCAAAUUAUUCGAGAAUUUUUAAAAUUCCGAAUAAAACGUCCGUUUUCAAAUUUUUGAAAAAAUUUUGAAAAAAAUUACGUUUUAUUGGAUAAAAGUAAUUAUUCGCGAAUUAAACGCGAUUCGCGAAUAAUUCCGCUCAAAAAAAACGCCGCCGUUGCUGCGGUCGCGGGCCUCGCGCAUGGCCCAAAACAGAAAAGAGUUCGCAACUCAAAAAAAAAACCCUUCUCUGAAAUCGCCCCCUCCCAGUCUCCCAGACUCCCAGCCCCAGCCCCAUCCCUCCCAAAAAAGGGUUUGCCCUAACUUCUCACCCCUGCGGCGGUGCGGCCCUGCCACCGACCCGUGCGGCGGUCGCGGUCCCUUCCCCUCCCCCUCUUCCCUUCCGGCUGCUCGCCGAACGCAAUCGGAAGCCCCCCUCUUCAGAAAUCGAAGAUCGAGUUCUUCACUCUUCAGAAAUCGAAACCCUCCCCGUCGCCUCUUCCUCUUCCGCUUCCGCUAUCCAACGAUAUAUAGAUCAGUAAUAAGGUGGUUCUUUACAAACCAAGUACGAUUUGAGUUUUCAUUCUUUAAAGCAAAAGUUGGAAGCUUUUAGUCCAUCUGAUGGAUACUUUUUUAUACACAAAUGGCUCGAGUGCUUAAAUUGAAUGUGUCCAUUCUCUGUUCAUCGCACCUAAUUGUUAAGAACUAAAGACCCAAACAUAGAGCUAAAUAAUGUAUUAACCUAGGGACACGGAACUCUUGUAUUAUACCUAAUCAAUUUCAUGAUCUUGUCGACACUUGCAAAAGAAAAUUUGUUGUGUGGUCUUUCAUGGAAAAUUUUGUUGUGGUUAAAUCAGAGUCGGAGUUCGCUGAUUAUAAUUACUAAAACUUUCUGUGUUUGUAUGCUCUAUAUUUUAUUCAAGCUUUUAUGUAUGUUUAUAUGUGGAAUUAUGAACUUUAUGUAUUUUUAUUUGUUUACUGUUUAGACUUUAGAAUUUAGAUAUGCUAGUAUGCUGUUAUGCACUAUGCAAAGUGCCUGUUUCUCUUGGAUUUAAUUUCUAACUAUGCUUGUAUGUGAAUCUUUUUAUAUUUACAUUUAAAUAUGGACUAUCUUGAUCUCUUAUUUGCUUAAUUAUUUUUUUUUUUUUAGGCAUAAUAUAGUUUGUUAUUUUUUUUAGUUAAUUAGUUUAAUUUUGUAGUUCUUUAUUUUUAUAUUCUUAAAAAAUAUGAGUAUUUAUGCUAAUAAUAUAAAUCUUGAGAGAAAAAAACUUAAUUUAAUAGCCGAAUUUUUAAUCCCGAAUUUUUAAUUGGUGAACGUAUAAUAUCUGUAUAAAUCACGUAUCCGAAUAAUUACUGAAUCUGUUUUUUAACCGUAUUUUUCAACGAAUUUAAAAAUUCGAAGACGAAUUUUAUCCGAAUUAUACCCGUACCGAAUUUUUGCCGAAUCCGAAUUAACUAACUAUGCUCCUACCCCGACCCCUCCCAGUCCCAAAAAAGGGUUGCCCUAACCCUCCUCGUCGCCUCUUCCUCUUCCUCCGCUUCCAACGAUAGAUCAGUAAUCGAUCGGGUGGUUCUUUACAAACCAGGUGCGAUUUGAGUUUCCAUUCUAAAAAACAAAAGUUGGAAGCUUUUAGUCCAUCUGAUGGAUACUUUUUUUAUACACAAAUGGCUCGAGUGCUUAAAUUGAAUGUGUGUCCAUUCUCUGUUAUGCCCAAACAUAGAAGACCCAAACAUGGAGCUAGAUAUAAUCUUAAUUAACUUAGGGACCAGGUGUCCAUUCUCUGUUAUUCUCUGUUAUGUGGAAUAGUGAACUUUAUGUAUCUUUUAUUUAUUUAUUGUUUAGACUUUAGAAUUUAGAUAGGCUAGUAUGCAGUUAUGCACUAUGUAAAGUGCUAGUUUCAUCUUGUAUUUACUUUCUAACUAUGCUUGUAUGUGAACGUUUUAUAUUUUACAUUUAAGUAUGGUCUAUCUUGAUCUCUUAUUUGCUUAAUUAUUUCUUUAUUUUGAGGCAUUAUAUAUGUUACGUUUUUUUUUUUACUUAAUUAGUUUAAUUUUGUAGCUCUUUAUUCGUAUAUUCUUAAAAAAUAUAAGUAUUUAUGCUAAUAGUAUAAAUCUUGAGAGCNAAGACCCAAACAUAGAGCUAACUAAUCUUAAUUAACUUAGGGACCAGGUGUCCAUUCUCUGUUAUGCACAAAGAAGACCCAAACAUAGAGCUAAUUAACUUAGGGACCAGGUGUCCAUUCUCUGUUAUUCUCUGUUAUGUGGAAUAGUGAACUUUAUGUAUCUUUUAUUUAUUUAUUGUUUAGACUUUAGAAUUUAGAUAGGCUAGUAUGCAGUUAUGCACUAUGUAAAGUGCCAGUUUCAUCUUGUAUUUACUUUCUAACUAUGCUUGUAUGUGAACCUUUUAUAUUUUACAUUUAAGUAUGGUCUAUCUUGAUCUCUUAUUUGCUUAAUUAUUUCUUUAUUUUGAGGCAUUAUAUAGUUUACGUUUUUUUUUUUACUUAAUUAGUUUAAUUUUGUAGCUCUUUAUUCGUAUAUUCUUAAAAAAUAUAAGUAUUUAUGCUAAUAGUAUAAAUCUUGAGAGGAAAAAAACUUAAUUUAAUAGCCGAAUUUUUAAUUGGUGAACGUAUAAUAUCCGUAUAAAUCACGUAUCCGAAUAAUUGGCGAAUCCGGUUUUUUAGCCAUUUUUUUCAACGAAUUUAAAAAUUAGAAGACAAAUUUUAUCCGAAUUAUAUCCGUACCGAAUUUUUGCCGAAUCCGAAUUAACUAACUAUGGAACACAAACGCAAAGUAGAGAAAAGAAAAAGGAAAAGAGAAAGAAAUAAGAAAAUGCCUCCUUUUACCUCCUCCUGGCGCCUCCGCACUCCGAUCUCAACCCUUUCCCACCGCUUCCGCGCCGCGCUGCCCAGACUCCUCUCCUCCGGGGCCCAGCAGCCCUCGUCGUCGUCGGCGGCGGUGGGCCCCCUGUCCUGCCGCCUGGGUUCCCGCUCUGUAGUCCGAUUUCGCGGGCCCGACGCCGCCAAGUUCCUGCAGGGCCUCCUCACCAAUGACGUCCGCCCUCUCGCUGUUCCGCCCGCCGCCGCAGUUGGAAGCGACGAGUCUUCCACCCACUUUCCCACGCCCAAUGUCUCUCUCUACCACUCUCCCCCUAUCUACGCCGCCCUGCUCACGCCGCAUGGCAGGUUCCUCUACGACCUCUUCCUCUAUCGCCCGCCUCCCGCCGAUCACAAGCUCGACCGGACCGGCUCUGGGCCUGGAAAGGGCGAUCCCCACGACCCGCUCACUUUGCUCGCCGACGUCGAUGCGGUCGUCCUGGACGAGCUCUUGGAUUGCUUCAACAAGUAAGGCGCCUAAAUCCUAGUUAGAAUUAUUUUCUUUUCUGGUUCCAUAGCUUCGACUUCUUUAUUCCCGCGCUGAGUUUUCCUAUUUUAUUUUCUGGUGCUAAUCCUAAGCGACACAUUAGCUUUUAUGUAAAUUGGAAACUGCAAAUUAGUAAUAAACAAGGUCGAUAGGACUUGGAUAGUUUUAAAUCCGAGGCCUGAGUCAGUGAAAUACAAAAGGCAGCGCUACAAGUGAGGGGAAAUGAUGUCCAGAAAUUCACAAAGACGGAUUAGUAUUGAUGGCUAUAUGAGUCAAAACUUGUUCUCUUGUGUCCUGUAAUAUUGAGAGAGUACCACAUCCCAGUAUCUGAUAAUAUGGAAAAAGCGGACGAGUAUAUUUCUGAAAUCUUAAUAUCUACUAUAUUUUUGACAAUCUAGAGAGAUCCUACUGUUCAACCCAUUUUAUGCGCAGUUGGUAGCAUUUGGUAGAAAUUUGCAUCUCAUUUGAGUAGCAGAACUUGACAUAUGACACUUCCUGAUUUGACCAUACAAUAUUUCAUUGCUCUAAGUUAAUGCUGAUUUUAUUCCCAUACAUGUUUUGCAGAUAUAGGCUCCGGUCCAAGGUUGACAUAGAGAACGUGAGCAAGGAAUUUGCUUGUUGGCAGAGAUUUGGUGGUAACCUAUCUAACGCUGCACCAUCAACUCAAGAACCUGAAGCUGCAUCUGUUGGUUGGGGAACAGGCAUCGAUCAUGCUGCUGAAUCAUCCGCACAGGGAAAUAGUAUUGGUUGGAAAUGGUGCAAAGAUCCUAGGUUGGAUUGCUUGGGAUAUAGGGGAAUCUUCCCAUCUAACACAAUUCGUAAGAGACUGCACUCAUAAGGUCUUUUAACGUUUAUGCAUCUCCACCUAUUAAAUUAUACCCCUGUAAAAUAUGAAUUUCAUAUAUGACACCAAAAUUGCUAUUUCUUAUGAAGGCUUUCUUUUCUGCCGAGAAGGUCGGGGGGUAAGCUUAAGUUUACUUUCUAAAGCUGGAUACUUCUGCAAGUACAAAUUAUAUAUGUUAGGAAGUAUGUUUUUGAGGAGCAUACAUUGAAUUUCAGAUUUUAUAAGGGCAUAUAUAUAAAAACAGAAUCUCGUGUUCGUUUUAUUCAUAGUAGGACUUGUUGGCACCUAGGAUUGGAUCAGAUUGGCUAAGUUAAGAGUAUUUCAUUGGGUAGAUUCGGCAACUUGGGGGGUGCCAAGAGUAGCGAGAGGAAUCUGGUUGAGUUAAAUACCCAGUGGAGUGGAAUGGGAUUACUGGAUCCCACCAAGCGGCUAGGAGUGAAAAGGGCUGCAUUUGGAAAUUCAUUUCUAUCCCAUGGGCGGCGCCUCCAAUUGUUGUGACCUCCAGUGCCUUUUUGAGUUUUGAGUUGCUAAAUGCUCCCUCUCCCUUCAACGUUGCACUUUCAGCUUUGCCUAUCCAAUCAAUCUAGGUGCCGGCCGGGGCCACCAGUUGCACUGGCGUUCAACAAUGGAUGCUUCAAUUUGGUAUAUGAACUAGAAAUCUAGAAGUUCAUUAUAUAUUUAUAUCUGUUGCUUUCUUUCUUCUACAGCACCAUUAGUUGAAUCCGACAAAGAAGCAGAUGAAAGACAUUACCUUCUAUGGCGAUUACAGCAAGGAGUUGCUGAAGGUUCGACUGAGAUACCAAAAGGUGUGGUUAAUCAAAUUUCAGAAUGAUUUUAUUGUGCCUUCUUCUAGGUGACUAUAUACCUACAAAUUAUAUAUAAUGAUAGAACAGAACCCAGAAAAUCAAGAUUCUAAUGCUGCGUAUAGUUUUCUGUUGGAAUUCUAUGACAAAGUUUUCAUUGAGAUUUCAUUACUCUUCCAAAUUGUUGUGUUCACAUGUUCAAUCUAGGUAUGCAUUUUUGUUUAGGUUUUAUGUAUAAGUGGAAACUUGAUUAUGACAAUAUGAAUUAAGUGUACUUGACAUUACAAAAUAAUCAAAUACAAGGUUGAACUCGGUUCAACUCAAUUUGUUGAUUUUGUUGGUAAGUACUGAAUAGCCGAUACAGAAGUAACUAGUUGUUUGUUCAUACUAUUUAGGAGAAUGGUAUUACUAGACUAGUUUAGAUUUAAGCAUUUCCAGCUACAUUAAUUAAGAAUAGUAGAGAUGUUACCUAGUGGUUGGUUUUUAGUUUUUUAUUGUUUAUGAGAAAAGGCAAUGACUAGAAAAUUGUGUUUGGUCCCAUUAUCUGUUUAAAUAUUUAUUCCAAAAUACCGGAAAACUUGGUACUCACAUAAAUAUAUUUUAGAUUAGUGGAGUAUGGUUUGAGUUGCUUUUUGGGGCCAGACUCGAUUUGAAAUAAAGCAGCUAUGCUAGUCUUUCAAGGUAUAAAAUGUUCUACUAAUAAACCCUAUACAUGUUUCAUUUUGGUGGGAACUUGUUUGAUUUGGUUAGGAGCGGGUUCUCUUAUAGAAAAUUGAGAUAGAUUGAGAUUAGUCAGAUUUCACCUACAUAACCAAGACUGAGACGGUCAUUAGAAAAAGUGUCCUGAGCCAAAACAAAUGAUUCACUUUCAUUUCCUGACUCAUCGGUUAUAUCCCUACAUUUGCUGUAAUGUUUGUGUGCUCGUGAUUAAGUGUGCAUUCUUUCACAUGUAUGAAUAUUUGUCUACUUGUGCUAGUGCGUGUACAUGCAUAUGUGCUGUCCACAUGUAUCUCUGUGUUGUUCACAACCAUGUGCUUGUGUGCACAUUUGGCCUAGGCAUUGGUUUAUAUCGAUCUACUCUCGAGGAUUCGAAUGCUGUCUCGGAGUGUAAGGAUGGAGUGAAGUACUGAAGUCAAUAAAGAAGUUGUAGAUUCGUAAGAUCAUGAUAGUCUCUCCGCGUGCUAUAGUGCUACAAAAGAUUUAAGUGCAUGGUGUGCAUGUGUAUGCGGGAGGCAUGUUAUAGUUUUUUCUCAACAUGCACCACUUGUGGACUUGUCUGUUUUUGUUGGCAGUUGCAUGAUUUUUUUUGUUUGGUUCUUUCGAAAUUUGAACUUUUUGGCUUCUGCGAGAGUCAAUAGUAAUGGAGUUGACAUUGAUGUAUACUAGGACUAGGAGCUUAUUCAAUCUAGCUUCUGUUAAUACGAGUUAGCCAUUCUCAUCUCUUUUGGUCUUUUUUCAAUGCCUUGCUCUUAUUUCUUGUGAAACAAUAACUUUUGGUUGAAAUAUAUAAGUUGUUUUGCCCAGUCAUUAACUUACGUUAGGCGGAUAUGAUGCAUUUGCAAGAUUAACAGUGUAGAAUAAUUCAAAUCCAGUGAAAUUUGAUAGAAAUUUUUUUUCACUAAAAAUUAGAGUAAAUUUAGUAUCUCUAAUAUGAAAUUUAAGUCUUUUCUCAUUAUUUUUUAUGAUAUUUUUAUUUUCAGUCGUUAAUUUUGUCUCUAAUAUGAAAUUUAAGUCUUUUCUCAUUAUUUUUUAUGAUAUUUUUAUUUUCAGUCGUUAAUUUUGAGACUUUGUUUUAAAUGUAAAUGAGGUUGAAAAAUCAUAAAAAUUUAUUUUAGAUACUUCAAAACUCUAGAUUAAGUCUAACAGAGUCAAUCGUUGAUUCGAGUGUCCUAUCAUCGAAAACAAUUUGGUACACUAGAUCUUCAAUUUUUACGAGAGUACAAUUUUGACCGUUACACAUUUGAUGGACUUCAUUAUAAAUUUAGAAAAUUGCAACAUUUGGUUUUUAGAUACUAUAGAUACUCUAGAUCAUGUGCAAUAGUAUGUGUCGUUGAUUCGGAAGCUCCAUCAUUGGACUUAUGAAUAUGAAGGUCUCUGUAUUGCACACAGUCAUACACACAUAUAUACACACGCACGUGCAUAUAUACACACAUAUAUACAUAUACGUAUAUACACACACAUGUACAUAUUUAAAUAGACGCACACUCCCAUGCACAUGCGGAUGCAUACACACACACACACACACAAUAGGGCUACUAUACUCUUAUGAGUAUAGAAUCGUUCAUUCUUUUGCAGUCACAUGCAAAUGUUCAAGGGUCACGGUUCAACAACCUCACUAUUUUUUUAAAAUUGACUAAAUCUAUCUAUGCUAUCAACCAUCCUAAGUGUCAUGACAGUAUUGUUUAAGUAGUAGCCCAAUUACCUUUUGUUUACAACCUAUGUUAGAUGCACUAUGUUCAAUACUUACAUACGCAUGUCAAAUUCUCUAAGUUAUCUCUAUAGAAUGUUAUUUGUCUCAUAGUUCAAUAACGUCGGUGAAUAGGUUAUGUCCAAACAUAUUGACAACAUAUGAGAUUCUCUCGCACCUUGGUAGCUAAUUCACCUCAAGAAAGGUGUGUUUCACACAAGAAUGCUCGUGUAUGCACAUUUACUAGAAAAAUUACCAUUUAUACUUAUCCGUUCAACAUGAUAUUAGUCCUCAGAUAUGGAAAGUGACCAAUCCACUUUGGUACCCAUCUCGUUUCGUCAUUAAUUGAUAAGAAAAUCAAGAACUAGGAAAUUGUGGACGAAUCGCCCUGCUUCCAAGCCAAUCCGCCAAAAACCUUCAAAAUCGGCCUGAAUUGUCCAAUCGGACGUUGUAACCUUGUUGUAAUUCAAAUCUUUGUUGUCUUCCAAGUCAAUCUUCUCUCUAAUUAGAGUUUUCAAGUGUUAGAUGGAUUUUAAACUCAAGGUGCAAAAACAGCAAUUUUGAUCCAGGUUUCUAAUUUGUCUCAACAAAAUCCUUCAUUCAUAGCAAAUCUCUAAAUAUUAUAAUAUAGAUUCACCUAGAUUCUUCUGCUGAGCCACUGUGCAUGUGUCCAUGCAAAAGUCAAAUCAUUUAUCAAAUUUCCUUCGGGCUGCAAAUACUGACUUCGGGCGUCCGGUUCUAGGAUUUGAAUCAACAUUAGUGCCUGUAUGCCACUUUAGGGCACCAUAAUCCCUUUCCCGGCGUCCGAAAGACCUUAAAACUUUAGUUUCAAUAGUGAGUCCGUUUUUGUGCUGUUUUCAAAUUAUUUUUGAUGAUGGAACUUUCCAAUCGAUGGUCAGCACCAUUUGAUUUGAUUCAAUUAUUAAUUUUUUGGCAUUAUUUAUAUCAUGAUCAAAAGAUCAUGAAAUUGACCAUUUUUAACGGCUGGUAUGGAAUGCUUGCUAGUUUAACGGCGUAAAAGAAAUGGAAUCGGUUGAAUUUUUAAUAGAAAAUGUUAUUCACUAUCUAGAUAAAGACUAAUAACUUCGAUCUUAAAUUGCAAAAUAGUACAUUAAUAAUUUUUGGCAAAUAAAAAAAGGUAGUUGGACGAGUUACUUAUUGUGCCACAUCCUUGUAUUAGUCCUCUGCCCAGAUUAUAGAUGGACCUGUAAGAUGUGAGUGAGAACUAUAAUCAUAGUUUCCAGUAGGUAUGCCCAUCUAAAGGGCAGGCUCGAUCCACCAAAUCUAAAGAAGGCAUAAUAUAAAAGGAGUGAGUAUAUAACUAAUAAAAAGUACUUUACAUAUAUAUGACCACUAUAUGCGAAAAGAAAGUGACGACUAUUAUGCCAUAAAUUGAAAGAUCAAGAUCCUUACUUUGUUUUCGACAUCUCUCACUAUAGAGGGUAUGCAGUUCACCUACCGAGAGAGCUCCCUCUUGUACUGGUAUAUAGGGGUGAACCGGAAUACUUAUGAUAAGUAUUAGCCUUUCUUGUAACUCUUUCACCUUUGGAUCAACACCUUUGACCACUAGUCUUGGAUUAAUACGAUUCCACCAAUCACUACUAAACUCGUGCUGGGCCACCAUCAUCCCAACCCCGUAAUUUUUUAUCCAAGGGCUACAAACCUAAAAAGUAAAAAAUCCCAAAUACUUCUAAAAGUCCACAAUCUUUUAUCCAAGGGAUACAAAGCUAAAGUAAAAAAGCCCAAAUACUUCGAAACGUAUUUCUAGCUCAAUUAUAUAUAUAUAUAUAUAUAUAUAUAUAUAUAUAUAUAUAUAGAAUUAGGCUACUAUACUAUCUAUAGUACCGAGCUUCGGUACUAUAGUGUUUGUUUUCGAUCUUAGGGCGUUCAAAUCAACGAUCCACACCGUUAAAUAUGAUCUAGGGUAUAUGAAUUUCUUAGGAAUAAAAUUUUAGUUUUUUUCGAUAUCGUUUACUUANAAGGGAGCCGAUCGUCGAUUUGGAAGCCGCAUCAUUGAAAACAACUUGGUAGCACGGAGGCCUCCGUGCUACCGAUAGUAUACUAGCCUAGCUCUAUAUGUAUAUAUAUAUUUAUAUAGAAUUAGGCUACUAUACUAUCUAUAGUACCGAGCUUCGGUACUAUAGUGUUUGUUUUCGAUCUUAGGGCGUUCAAAUCAACGAUCCACACCGUUAAAUAUGAUCUAGGGUAUAAGAAUGUCUUAGGAAUAAAAUUUUAGUUUUUUUCGAUAUCGUUUACUUAGUAAAUAAAUUAUAUCAAAAUGGACGGUGAAAAUUGAAUAAUCUUUAAAAUUUGAGUAUAUGACUUUUAAAUUCAAGAUCAAGAAUGUUAACCUUAAUCUAUAUAGUUUAAAGUAUUUUCUAUCAAAAUUUGAAUAAAUUUAGAUUCUUCUACACCGUUAAACUCCAAACUUGUCAUAAUAGCCAUUGAAAAUUGACAAUUUUGAAAUAGUUUGAUCAUAAAGUAAACUAUGUCGAAAAAAUAUAAAAUUUUAUUUCUAGAAACUUUAAAUACUCUAGAUCAGUUUUAACGGUGUGGAUCGUUGAUUUGAACGCCCUAAGAUCGAAAACCAACAUUAUAGUACCGGAGCUCGGUACUAUAGAUAGUAUAGUAGCCUAGCUCUAUAUAUAUAUAUAUAUAUAUAUAUAUAUAUAUAUAGAGUUGAGCUAGAAUUCUAUCCAUAGCAAACGAGCUCCGUUGCCACCCAUUUGUUUUCGAUGAUGGAGCUUCCAAAUCGAUGAUCAACACCGUUGAUCAUGAUCUAUACUACUUGAAGUGUUUAGAAAUCAAAUUUCAUACAUUUUCGAUAUUGUUCUCUUAUCCAUCAAGUGGACACAAAAAUGAACGGCUGAAAAUGAAUAUUCUUUAAAAAAUGAUGAUAGGAGUCUUGUAAUCAAGAUCAAGAGUAUAGAUCUUGUUUUAAAGAGUUUAAAGAAUUUUCUAACAAAAAUUCAAUUGAUUUCGAUAUCUUUACGCCGUUAAACGAGAAAACGCUUCAUAUCAACCAUUAAAAUUACAAAUUUUGAAAUCCUUUGAUCAUUAAGCAAAUGAUGUCGAAAAGAUUUGAAAUUUGAUUUCUAAACACUUCAAGCGAUAUAGAUCAUGUUCAACGGUUCCGAUCGUCAAUUUGGAGGCUCCAUCAUCGAAAACAAGUGGGUGGCAACGGAGCCUGUUUGCUAUCAAUAGUAUUCUAGCUCAACUCUCUACAUAUAUAUAUAUAUGUAUGUAUAUGUAUAUGUAUGUAUAUGUAUGUAUAUGUAUAUAUGUUUGUAUAUGUAUGUAUGUAUGUAUGUACAUAAAUAUGUAUGUAUAUACAUAUAUGUAUGUAUGUAUAUACAUAAAUAUGUAUGUAUAUACAUAUAUAUAUACAUGUAUAUACAUAUAUGUAUGUAUAUACAUGUAUAUACAUAUAUGUAUGUAUAUACAUGUAUAUACAUAUAUAUAUAUAUAUAUAGAGCUAGGCUCCUAUGCUUUCGAAAGUACGGAGGCCUCCAUGCUUGUAAGUUGUUUUCGAUGAUGGGGCAUUCGAUUCGGCGAUCAGUUUCGUUAGACAUGAUCUACGCUAUUAGAACUACCUAGAAACCGGAUGUAUUGGUCUUAUUCUUGAUAGUUAAGUAGAAUUUUCUAUUAAAUUUUCAUUUCAUUUGGAUUGUUUUACACCGUUGAACUUACAAACGUGCCACAUCGGCCGUUAAAAUUGUCAUUUUUGAGAUCUUUUGAUCGCUUGUUAAAUGAUGUCAAAAAAUACUUUCAAUAGUGUAGAUCAAGUCUAACGGAGCCGAUCGUCGAUUUGAAAGCCGCAUCAUCGAAAACAACUUGGUAGCACGGAACGCUCCGUGCUACCGAUAGCAUAGUAGCCGGAUUCUAUAUAUAUAUAUAUAUGUAUAUAUAUGUAUAUAUAUAUAUGAACUUUAAAUACUUGCAACUAUGUCUUUGGAAUAGUCAAAAGAUGCUAUAUCCGCAAGAGCCAUCUUUAGAAUCUCAUAUUGCAUGGUAAUUUUCGUUUAUAUGUGUGAUUGGGUUUAAAUUUCACGACAAUGUUAGGGUCUCACAGAUGGUGUUUGUAGCGCCCCAAUAGUCCUACAUCGGAUAAAAAAGGGAUUAUGACUGGGUAUAUAAGGAUUAGAGACCUAAGUAAUGAUAAUUGGGCUCUAGCAUUUUGUGCCCAACGAGUUAUUAGUGCUAGCGGGUCGGAUCAUUACUUUUAGUAUCAGAGGCAAUCAUCAGCCGGAGUUGAUCCAGGGUUGUACAGGAGGUAGGGAGAUGAGUCUCACGUUGCUUGGUGCUUGUGAGCGUGCCUGAGCCUGACAAGGACGUCAGGCUUAAACGGAAGGCAUCGGGGCUUAAAGGUAGUAGGAGGAAUGCGACACCCCAGAAUUUGGAAUAGUCUUAUAUAAAGGGUAUAAUAGGACUAAAUCUCUUGAUCCGGCAUUGGGUGGUGGCUAGGCCCAAGAUGUUAAAUAAGUCAUUGCAGGAUUAGCUAUUUGUUUUGUUAGUAUCCACAUCUCUUGUAUUGUACAAGAAGUUCACAAUUAUUUGAUGGUAAUUAUAUAAACUGCUAUACUAAAAUAUGUAUAUAAGGCACUUGUUUUUCGCAAGAGCAUUAAUUAAGUUUUUUCAUGGUGAUAUCUUAAGCUAGAGAUAAAAAGAGGACAAAUGUACGGUUUUCUUUCUCACAAAAAACAUUAGUAAAGUCUUAGGACCUUUAAAACAUGGAUGUAUUCCAAACGACUGAUGUUAUAACCUCAUUCAAUGUAGGACGAGCAUGUGUAUAUGCUAUGCUCAGAUUAAACUGAAGAAAAACUUGACGCAGAGGAGACAUGGGUCGUCUACUCGACGUGGAUGCAGAUCAUUGUGCGAAUUCUCUGCAGAAAAAGAAAAGUUUUUUAGUACUCUUGUUAGAUUACUGAGGAUCAUUAAGAGGAUUUCGCAGAUCCUUUGCUAUAUUUCAACUGUUUACUUUUACCUGUUAAAAGAUUUUAUUUUAUUUUAUUUUAUUUUAUUUCUCAAAAGGAUGAUAAGAGAAUUUUAGAUAAAUUCUAUAGAACUCUCUUUCUCUUCUUCUCUCUUAUAGAACUACCUCUCUUUUUCUUCCACCCCCCCACCCCCUCGACUCAUAAUCAAGAAGUAGGCUUUGAAAUUUUUAUUACUUUUUAGUCAACCUCUCAUUUUAUUUUAAUGGAUAGUUAAUAUAAAUUAAUAUAUUAAAAUAUUAGUCUUAUCUGUUAUGACCCUGUCGUGCUUGUGUUUUAUUUUUCGAAGUUCUCAAGUUGUUGUGUCCGAGUCAUGUCGUUUCUCAUGUUCCGUGUCGUGUCCGUGCCUGUGCAUUCUUGGUUAGGAUCUCCACAGACUGGUAAAGAAAUAGAUGACGACGAGUGGGCUACUAGAUUAAUACAUUAGAGACGAGCGAGAAGAAAGAAGUGAAAAGAGAGGAGAAAGUUACUUCGGAACUUGGUUUGGCAAUCAGGAGUUCUCUUCACACUUUCAUUAAAUACAUUGCCUUUGGUUGGCCUGUUUCAAAAUUCUUGUGCUGUAGUUCUAAAGCAUCUUGGAUUCUUAUUAAUAGAGGGAAAUCCAAUUUGAUAAAAUUAUAUUUGAUGCGCUUGUCAGAUCAUUAAUUAACAGUAUAAUUGGCUUCUUUGCACCAAUAAUCUUUUGGUCCUUACACCUCUUUUAGUAUUACAUGUCUGUAUUACAUGUCUGGUUUUAUGAACUUUGAUUAAAAUUAAAAGUUUUAAACUUCUCUUGACAGCCAAGCUAAGAAAUGGAUGAAGAGUAUUUAAAUUGUGUAAAUAUUCAGACCAUAGUUACUAGGAUUGCAGACUCUCCCCUUCAAACCGUGAUUUGGACUGCAUAUUUUGAUUUAGGGUGGAUUCUCAAUCCGGUUUGCAAAAAGUGGUGAAUCGAGAAUAGUAAAGAAGUACUUUGAUUUUCUAGAUCUAAUUUGUUAGGAUAUGUAAAGUGUUUUACAAGAUAUAGGUUAAUCAGGGUUGGAAACUUGGCUGCGACAUCAUUUAGGACUCAAGAGUGUGCUUGAUAGUCGGGAGUUGGGAUGAUCGUUACGCCACGGUUGAAUGGUGAGUAAUGGAUGAAUCAUUGUGGCGUAUGAAUUGAUGGUAGCAAGCAGGGUAGCAAGUCAAUGCACAAUGCUAGGGUGGAAUUGGUUGAACUUAUUGUAUCCAAGAUUCUGUAUGGAUAUAACUGAUUCUAAAUGCUACACAGGGUAAUCCAAGUUCCUUUGAAAGAGAGUCGAGUUACACUAAUGUCACGCCCGGGUACCAACGGAAGCAUAUCCGGUACGUGCACAGACCCGCCAUACACUUGCAGUAUAUAAGGCGUCUAUAAAGAAAACAUGUCGAUAGAAGGAAUACAUAGAAGAAUCCUAUCCUGAUAUCAGAGCAAAGUAUAAGUCAAUAAUAUCAUUCUCAGAAGAACAGUGAGUAUAUGAUCCAAAACAACUCAACAUCGUAGAGAAAUAUUACAAGUAUAAUCCCCGAUUCAAAGAUUUCAUAUACAUCACAGGGCUACUCAAAAUACAUGUACAAUGGUAGUCUCUCUAUACACGGGUACAUCACCCUCGACCGUGGCACGAGUAGCAAGGUGAUCAUCUAGUAAAAUAGCAAGCUAGGUCUAGCUAGAUGCGACUUCCUUGCCGCGAUCCCUAGCCUCUCCUGUAGGUGGCUCUGUAAAAACAACAAUAAAAAGGGCGUGAGAACUAUUAAACAAUAGUUCCCAGUGGGUAAGCCGCCAGCCUCGGUGAAUUACACCACUAGGCUCAUAAUAUACUAAAUAAAAGUAAAGCAGUAAUUGCAUGAUAAAUCUACAAUGCUAAUAGGUAAUGAGCAUGUAAUCAUAUUUUCUACAGUAAAUGAAUCAACUGAAUAUGAAAAGCAUAGCAAUUACUGUAAGCAUGAACAUAAACAUGAACAUAAGUAUGAACGUGUAAGUAAAUACUGUACACUAUAACUGAUAAUCAUUCAUUACUAUCCACUGUCAUUUGGAACUUUAAUUUCAUUCAAAAAGACCUACACAAGGUAGUAUAGCUUGCGCCGCGCCUAAUGGCCCCGUGGUAGUAUGCACUCCCCACGACAAUCCACUUCGGCACCCAAUCCCGCACGGGCGAGCAAUCUGUUGCGUAGGCCAACUCCGGAGUGCCGGCUUGUAGGGAGCUACCCUCACAAGCGUGUGCGAAUGAGCACAAUGGCAAGCAAGCAAAGUUCAUAGUCCAAUAUGUCUCGAACAUCAUGUCAUAGUAUGCUAUGUUCUUACUCUCGAUCUAUUGAUCGGAAUUCUCAAUAUAAAAAACAAUGACAAUAGCUAGUAUCCACUAGAUUAGUAAGCACAUGAAAGUAAUGCUAAUUUACAUAUGGCAUUAGAAACUUUCCACUAUCGAGGUACUAUCAAAAUAGUCACAAGAAAUGUCAUUGUUCUCUCCUCUAUAGGAGCAUAAUAGACUUGUCUAUUAGUUGCAACUGAACUAAUCAUAAACAUAAACAUAAAUACUUUUAUGCAUGAGUUCUCUCUACUUCAUAGAGGUUACAUUUCAAAUGUAUCAAACGUUGUGGCGAUGAUGUUCCAAGUCCUUUAUCAAUCACAUAAUCACAAAAGCGCACAAAUAAACCAAUUCUAUAGUAUUAUAUAGAACAUAAGGGAGCUUCACUUGCUCUGGUUAGGUCAAACCCACCUAUCACUAAGCUCAAUGCAACCCAAAUGAAUCCCGCAAUUCAGCUCACUGGUUCAUGAACCUGCUGAAAAUCAAGUAUUAAAAUCGCAUCAAAACUACAACCGAAUUGUCCAAAUUCGGCACAAAACUCACUUAGUACAAAGUAGUAGCUUGAGUUCCUGAUUUGGUUCACUUUAGUACCUCAAGAUUAACCUCUAAAGGCUCUCCAAUGCCCACCGAAGAUGAUCCAGAGGUCGGUUGCACUCUCGCUGCGAACAACACCAAAACGGCAUCAAAAUGCUUGUAUACAAGUUAAUAUAGCCGAAAUCUUGCGAAUUCAGUUUUCUAACUGAAAUUUCAGCUUACCCCUGGUUGAAACACCUUCUAAACCAGCCCCCAAGGUCACCAAUUUAACGCAAAGUGAAUUGGAAACCUGCUGCGAAGAAACAAUUCCAAACUGCAUUAAGUCGCUCGAUUAAACAGCGUAUAGUUUCGAAAUAGCUUCAUAAAUAACUAAUUACCUUUAUCAAGCUUCAAAGCAGCCUUUCCCUGGAUUAAAAUGGGUAAAUCACAGCUAGAUAACUCCUCUCUAGCUGCUGGAAUCCUCCUCCAACUCAGCUGGGAGCAACAAAACCGAAACGGCUCAAAAUCCGACACUAGUACACAAACUAGGGAGAAAUUGAGCUAAAUACCUUUCUACAGCUUUUUUUCAGCAACUCCCUAUAUUAGAUAUGAAGAACACUGCCAAAACACCUCACUUCACCCUUCAAAAGCUGGCCCCAAGUCCACCCAAACAGCAUGCGUCGAGCGGAGCGUGAAAUCGGCGCGAAACGGCGAUGUCUACUCGAAGAGAGAGAAACCCUAGAGAGAGAAAGUGGAGAAAGUGAAAGAACCUUUCUCUGAGCUCUAGCAACCUCCACCAAGCUCCAGGAGUCGUGUUGGGUCAAAUAGAUAGGGAUUAGAUGCGAAAUUACCAAAAUAGCCUUGCUGCCACGUAUCUGCCAUUGUGUACCGGUACAAGAUGAUGGCUGUACCGGUACACAAUGCAAAAUUUCACCAGUAAUGCACUUUCUUGCUUCCGGCCGUUCAAUCACUUCUCUAACUUAUCCAAAAACUUGUCUAAGCCUUUUAGAAGAUGUAGGAUAGAUCCACAUAUCAUUCCACACACUCGAACUUCGCAAUUUGCUAAAGUUCAGUGUAUUACAACUAAAUUCCAUUUGGACUCAAUUAGGCAUAAUUUGUUCUAUCAAACUUGCAUCAUUUAUAGUAUUGUUAUGAACAAAAGCUUUUCUUACUAAAAUAUCAGGAAAGUUCUUGCCUUCUUGUGAAUGAGUGGAUGACUGCUUGCUUCUUUUGCCACUAAUCAGGUGAAGCUAUUCCUCUUGAAUACAAUUUGGCGGGACUGAAUGCUAUAUCCUUUGAAAAAGGUUGCUAUGUAGGCCAGGAGCUUGUCGCACGGACACAUCAUCGCGGUGUUAUUCACAAGCGCUUGCUUCCUUUUAAGUUUUUAAAUGAUAAUGGUGAAGGUACUUAUUUUCUAGUUAUUAACUUUAAUUUUUCUUUUGGUACUGUUGUUUAGAUGCUCAUGUAUUAUUGUUUACUUUACUCAGAAGUUGAGCAGGUUGUAUCCCCUGGUUCAGAGAUUGCGGAGAGUAAUUCCAACAAGACAGUUGGCACUGCAAAUACGGCAGUUGGGUGUUGUGGAAUGGGCAUACUCAGACUCGAAGAAGCAUUCAACCCAUCAUCUACACUCACAAUCAAGGAUCAAAACAAGAUUCAAGUUAAGGUUAUUAGACCAGAUUGGUGGCCUACGGAAUGGAAUCAUGUACAUGAAGAACAAACUGUUGCUGCUUAAUUGUGACUAAAUUGUAAUCUCUGAUGAUGAGGGAUUUUGAGUUGAUAGCGUUUGAGCUAACUUAUGUCUGUAAUCUUGGGUAGUUAUCACUGCCUCGAUUGUAGAGUUUAUGUAGCAGUGCAAGGUGAAUAAAAAGAUUUUCAGGAAUGUCAUUAGGAGACUGACUAGUGGAGAAAAAGUUACUGAUUGUACCGCAUAUUCUAAAUUUUGCAUUUACAAGUCCAGGACUCUCCAUUAUCAAUUUUAUUUCUCUUUAUUUACUUCUGCUUUUCUUUUAUUUUCGUUUUUAGUCUGGUUAUUAAACCUUUGUAAAUGGCUUAUAUGCAGGUAAUAAAAUAAAGUGAGGAAUUAGUUGGUGGAGUUGGUCUUAUAUGUUGAUAAACUGAACAUUGAGUAAGCUUAUUUUUUUCCUUUAUACCUGAAAUGUUCUAUAGCUUAAUUAGAUACCUAGCCUUAUAUGUAUUAUCUCUUACCAUUAACUCAUCAUAUGCUGUUAUGGGUGGAUUAGAUAAUGUUGUAUGAGAAGAGCCGGAUAAAUAUAAUGCUGUGGGAAAAAACAAAAUACUAAUUAUUAAGGCUUCAUUUCAUUUCAUUAUAUUGACAUUUUUGAAAUGUGGGAAAUGUUGCUUUUGAAUGGUUGGAAGUUUGAAUGGCCUCCUCAUAGGCAACCAUUUCUGGCUGUUCUUACUCUUAGUAGUUUCACACUUUUGCCUCCAAUGGUAAUCUACUACUUGGUAGUCACUUCUUGCUGUUCUUAUUCCCAAUCGUUGCGCAUGUUUCUUUACUUCAGUUAUUUGCUGUUCCUGCUACAGUCACUGCUUGCUGUUCUUAUCCCUGGUCGUUGCGCAUAUUUGCUUCCUACAGUUAUUUGCUUUCCCUACUACUACUCUGUGCUUAUGAGUGGUGUUGCCGAAUCUUCUUAGCUGAUCCUUACUUUUUUGUGAUUUUUUUGGGGACUGUUUGAAUUAGUUCUUUUGUAAGGUCACAGAAAUAGCAAUUUUUAUUGGAGACUGGCUAAUUAUAUUCAUAUUCACGCUGUAGUUGUUUCGUUCUACACAUUCUCGCAUUGUAGAAAAUCCAGCUCCAACCUUCUCAGAGCUCUCUCUCGCCCUCGCCUCUCUCCAUUGGUAGGAGGUCGCCUCUCAAUCGCUUGUACGACACUCUAAACCGCUCCCAUGUCCAUCCCAGGAUCUGUCCAAACCGCUUUCCUGCCCAAUCCAAGAUCUGCCACUUGUUCAUUCACUCAUGUGCGCCCGAAAUUGGUGGCGAUUUCUGACCUCGCGGCCACAACCCAAAUAGGGGACUCAACCGAAACAAGAGACUCUUUUAAUGCCUAUAAUCUUGUUCUUUCAAAUUUUUUAUUUAAUAUAAAAUUUCUAUUUUUAGGGUUUAGGGUGUCACCUUCACAUUCACCUUUGCCGUGCUGCGGAUUUCGUCACCGAGUAACAGACUCACUCAAUUUUAGAACACUGCCGGUAUAUAUUAAUUUUGGUUGCAUUUAUAUAAAUUCAGGGUUUAGGGUUAGAAUUAGGGUUUAGGGUUUAGAAGUUAUGUAAGGUACCGGACUUCUAAAGGUAUGAAGUUACGGUGUACGUUUAAAUGGUUCCGGUGAGGUUGCGGUGUAAUGUAAUAUACCGGAUUUAAAUAUAAAAAUAGAAAUAAAUAAAAAUAGUAUGAGAUACUAUUUUUAUUGGAUUUAGAGAAGUGAAAUAUAGGUUGGGAAUGACCUGUGCUGAAAUCGGAAUUAAAACAGAAGAUUUAGAAUUUUCUGUUGGAAAUGGGACAGAUAAAUUAGCAGAAAAUGCACAGUCUCAGAAAAUUAUGAAAAUUGGCAGAGAUGUCAGAAAUAUUUUUAUGAGGCUAGAUUUAAGGUUUCAUAUUUUUCUGACACCCGUAGAGUGAGAAAUAAAAUCCGAAAGCUAUCUGAUAAAGAUUGCAGUUCGGUACAGUUUUCAGUGACCAAACGGGGUCGAAACUGAACCAGUGAUCGUCAGCUUGUUAAGUUAAGUAAAACCGAACAUGGACUGUCAAGUUUGAGCUUCAAACGGACAUUCAGGGAGCUCCGGCGAAAGAUAUCAGAUUUCGAGCUGCCUAGACCGAGUGAAUUAGUGUUAUCUGUUGAAGGGAACUAAUAGUGUAAAAGGGACUUAAUCCCUGUCUUCUCCUCCUCAACCGUUGCGUACACAACCGCACACACAUCAACAACACACGCAUAACAUUUGAAAGGGAGAGAGAACACUUCCUUUCUCAUCUCUAGAUCUCUCCCAAAUAAAUAGAUGGAUUUGGGAGAAAGCAAGCUGGAAGUUUGAUCUUCAUCAAUUCAUCCUCUUCUCUCAGCAUGGAGCUUGCUUGAGAGGUAAGCAUUGAAACCCCUUAAUGGUAGUUUAGAAUUGCUAGGCUUCAAUUAUAUCUCUAAAAAUGGAUUUAUUGGAAUCCUAUGAUGCUAAAAUAGAUGAUUGUUGCGCUAAAAUCCCGAUCAAUUUAAUGAUUUCUUGCCUAAUUAUAAACCUAGGCUCUAAAAUGCCAAAUUUUGCUAUACUAGGGUUGAUCUCGUUUGACCCUCCGUAAACCUAAUUGAUAGUCGUAAACGAACGCUGGUUGACGAUAGACGGUUUCGGCGAUUGUCGAAGCCGGUGCGAAGCUUCAUUAAAGAAACGACCGUUUAGGCUUCGUUUCCGCCUUGAAGGGCCGAGGCGACGUCCGUAAAUCAUGGAAUUGAUUUGGAGGCACCGUAAACAAAAGAAAGACCCUUUUUGCCGACGGCUGCCGAAGCGUAUGCCGCGGUUGGUGCACAAUUGCAAGUUUCGACGCGAACCGGGGCGGAUGCUACGGGAGCCGAUUGCAAGGUCGACAAGCAAUCGGAAUCGCUAGCAGUGGUUGUGUUACGAGCGACUUAGGGUCGCUCUCAUUGUCGAAGAAAAAUUAUGAUUUUCCUUAGUUUGAUGCAUAUAAUGGGUGAAAUGCUAUAUGAUUGCAUAUGAUGUGAAGAUUGGGUAAAUUGCAUAUAAUGUGAAAAUGAAUAUAUUACAUGAUAAUUGCAUAUGAAUACUAAUGCAUUGCUAAGUGGACAAUGAUGUUAAAUGUUAAUGCGAUGCAUGUGGACAAUGAGUGUUAAAUCGUUUAAAUGCAUGUACGUGGACAAUGAUGUUAAAUUGUUGAAUUAUAUCCAUGCCUAAGUGGCAAGUAAUAUGUGAAUGUUAAAUGAAUGCGAUGAACUAAAUGUUAAUGAAUGCAUGGAAUGAUGUUGAGGAAUGCAUGGAUAUAUUAUACUAUCGAGGACAUUAAUUGGUUUGUGCUAAAUGAUCUAUGUAAAUUGGAACAUAUGCAUGUUAACGUAUUUGUAGACUAUGUUGGGGUAACAUAUGCUAAUUACAUAUGCAUUGUUUGAUUGAGAUUUAAAACUCUUUGGAUGAUUUAGAAAACUUGACAUUUGAAUACAAUGUAGUAUUAAUAUAUGAUAUGUUUGGUUUCCUACAAUGAGAUGAUAAAUGUGUGAUCAAGACUAGGUAAAUGGCAACCUUAGCAUGAUUGGGUAAAAGUAAUGCACUCGAGAACACUUGAAUUAUGUACGAGUGUGGCAUUAUAUGCAAUCUUAGUGUGUAGUGGACAUAAGCAUUGUAUGAGUAUAGAAACCUAUUGUUACUAUGUUGAUACUAUCCUUAGUUGAUAGGCGUGCUCCCAAUUCGAGAGAUUGGAUCUGUGUCACAUAGCCCUGUCAUGCGCUGGAGGGGUCGUCACCCACAGCUGUCACUCCGGAGGUUGGUCACUCAGAGGACAGUCAGUGUGCUGUCUGGAGGGUCUGUGUGCUGUCCGCAGAGCGGUCGUCGGCGGGACAGUUCAGUGAGACUUUUCUCCCUAUGAGACUUUGAGUAUGUUGAGAUUGAGGCACCCCCUUUGGGGUAGCCAAGUGAUUGGGUAAAACAAGUUGAUGAGCCUAUACGUGAGUUGUCCUACUUUGAGGGGGAUUUAGCCGCCAGGUGCAAUGAGAUGUCCUUCGCUCGUGCCUGGCUUUGUGCGGGUAACUUUUUUUUUCCGCAGAUGAUUGUGACUUCAAGACCGAGUCUGAGCGGCUAGCUUUGUAAAGUAGAUUAACCUUUGAUUAAAAUGGUAGAAUGACAGAAAACCUUAAAUGUCAAUUGGAUGAAAGUAGUAAUAUUGAAUUACUACGUUGGUUGAUAUAGUUGCCAUUAUUUGCAUGAUCUUCAUAUUGCAUAUCGCGAGGGCAAUGAUGUUAUUUGUUAAUGCAUGAUCUUAUUAUCAUAAUCUAUCUGUUUUGAACUAACCUGCAGUUGCCUUCCUUCGGACAUGUCGGUCGAGUUUUCCCUUGGGUCGGCCGUACCCAUGGGAACUAUGGAGGUUAGUUCUCACCCCACGAUUGCGUUUUUUGGGGUGUUACAGGUUUCACACUACCGGGGAGCGGCGCGGCGGGCCGAGGGACAAGGGACGUAGCUCCGUAGAUAGCGCCUACCACAGGACCAGACGGUCUAGCGGGGUAACCCGAGUCGAACAUAUCUUAGGGGUUAUUAGGAGAUGAAAGAUUAAUGUAUUGAAUAAAUGAAAAGAACAGAGUACGUAUACUUGUAAAUAAUGAAUGUUAGUUAGCUUAGAUUGAUUUGGUGGAAGGUAAACAGUAAAAUGUAUUGAGAUGUUAAGUGCGUAAAUUGUGAAUGCUUGUUUAUAAUAAUAUUAGAGAUUGUGUUUAUGUUGUUGAUACCCUUCCUUCCCCCAUUAUGCAAUCGUUGCUAUGUUGAAUAUGUUCCUGUUUGGAACCUGUAUGUAAUUGUAAUUGCAUUGUGAUACUGCCUGAACGUACAGUGGAACUCUGGUCCGUAGUGCCAGGGGAAACUCUGUCCGUUCGGCGCUGUCGGCGCCGCCGACCUGACCAAUAGGCGGGUGUCUGCGGGCUUAUUGACAGUAAGUGGGUUAUCAGAGCAUCAAAGAGAGAAUGGGAAUGGUUUAGAUGGACCUAGGAGACCUAGGAUAUGCUUAAACCAUAGGAGAAUAAGGCUCGUGAGAGACGAGGAUAUAUGGUUAUGGCGAAAGAUUAAUCGAUUGUGUCAGUUUUGAAGCCUCUAUAACGGAUAUUAGAGGUUAGACUCGAAGUGUGUGUUUGUUCUCAACCGAGGUGUUUCAUGUUGGGUCGACACAACAUGAAACCGCAGUAUUGAGAAUAGAUACCUUGCGUGACUUUCGCGCGAUUGUAGUCUAGACAGUGUCAGUUUGUUUUCGCGCUCGACCUUGAGCGGUCGAGAGACGAUCGAGCUGUCGGCGUUUUAGGAAGCGAUGGUGCCGCGUUAGGCGAAUCUUAGUAGAUCGGCACGGGAUGGGACGAGUGUCGUCCCUGAGCAAUCGAAGUGGAACGAGAGACUUGCGGACUUCGUGAGAGCGAUUGUCACUCUCGUGUGGAGUGGAGGAGGUUGACAAGCCGAAUAGCUGCAGCCGUCAGAGGAAGCGCGUAUUGCCAGGAGGAGCGGAAUGAGGGAAGACUCCAGGAAACGAAUAGAUCAGCCUGGGGGCUAUACCAGCUGCCGUUCGUCGAGUUGGACCGGGAGUUGCUGACGGAAGUAUUUUUCCGCUGGGUUCGAGCAAAUCGACUUUCUGGCCACAUUCAGAAGCGAAGGCAGGUGAAGGACCGAUUUGGCGGCCCUCAUGACCUUUAACGAUUUGAUCCCUCUGCCUUUAAUGGACGAGAAUUAGCGGAUCCGUUGUCGUGGAGUGUGGAUCGACUUCAUAGAGACUCCUUUUGGGGAGCCUGCUGCAUGUAGAGUUGAGAGGAUACACCUAGUGUGCGUUGCUUGCAAACAAUCGGUGAAGGUGGGUGGAAAGGCCAAUUCGACGAAAUUCGAUUGCCUAGUUUUCCUCCUGAUGAUUCGGAUGAGUUUCGGGGAUCAAUAUUCCUCUUUACUUCCCGAUGACUGAGUAAGAAAAGCUUCAGGAAAGGUUCCCGAAGCUUAUGGCAGGUAGACCGUGCCGUGAGUGGGAAUACGAGCAGGAAUUUCCACUCGUUAUCGUGAGUUGUGUCCCGAAACGUAUUAGUGCCGGAUGCGAGGCAACUUGGCGAUGUGCCUCUGCGAAGACCUUGGCCGGACGUGGUCGAGGUACCAUGUGCGGUAUAAGGAAGUUAAAUUUCUCGAAAUACGAGGAUUGGACUUGCGCUGUAGAAUCGACAAGGGUCGUGUUGGUGUCUUCCGGAAAAAGCCGAAGAAUGUUAAAUCACCAAAAGCUGCGUUGGAAUUGAGAUGUCACGAGAGAAAUUAGUGCAAAUAUGACUGGUGGAGAUUGCUCGGGACUGUCCUGGCAGGGACGAGACGGUUCCCCCGUAGCUUGAAACCUCGCCCAGUUUUUUGGGCCAGUGACAUUUCAUUGCAGUUGCGAUUGCAAUCCCAAAACCUCGGAGGUCAUCUACUUAACCUUUCGAAUGGGGAUUUGUAGAAGCUUCUCACCAGGCCACAGUUGGGUCCGUGCGCCUGGUGUGAUGAAAGGUGAUUUGUUUGAAUGGCCAGACCUUAGCGUUGGCGAUGGCUUUCUCCUCUCCGAGAAACAGCUGCAGGGUUGUGGUUCACCUACAGCAUGGUCUGGAGAGUGAUGGCGAGAGGUGACAACCGCUGGGGUUCGCGCGGCGCCCUAACGAGGCCGUAGAUAUCUUGCGGACGGGUUGUGAAACCUGCUGUUAUCGAGAUACCAUGGCAGUUAUGAGUUAAUGAAGCAAGCAUAGGCUUUGUAGGAUGUUGAGUUGGUGAUGCAUGCAUAUGCAAUAUGGGUUUCAUUUACUACAAUCGAUAUGUCAUUCGUGGUAGGAACCGAAGGGACGGUGUAAGCGUAGAUACCCCGGGCAUGUUUGCCUGUGGGGAGCGUAUCACCUGUUGAGCACGGUAGAAGCGGAUAAGCACUAGCAGAUGCUGGUGAUUGAUUGUGGCGAUAAGUGACGCACUCGCCAUGGUAAGAGACAAACGGUUGAAGCGACCUCCAAGCAAGGUAGUUGAUUGUGAGAAUUAGCGCCGUGACCUUGAGGAUUACCCGGUUAGUCCGGAUAUUCCGAUGUAGAUCCGGUACGCGUUGAACAGUGGAAAGUCUAGAAUCACUCGUCGAGAGAAUAGCCGGUUAGUUGCUGGAGUACGGGCAACAUAGGCCUAGCUAAGUACCUCAGUUUGAGGUGGAAGUUGUGCUUGUUUGGUCGGCGUGCCGAUACGCAAGGUUGCCUUACGUGACAUUGUGGUGGGAGCCUUAUAGACGACGUACGACGUAAAGACGAGAGCGCUCGAGAUAGAUACUUGUUACAGAGUGCGGAUUUGACUCAGCGGGAGAGUGUGUUGGCAGUAAACUUCAGCAUUGUAGUGUGAAGUCGGCCGUGGAAACUCGUAGGGCUGGUGCUUGCACGCUAGGUGCGUUAGAGCGAUAACUGCGUAUUACUGUGACUCGCUAGAGUAUGUCUUGUAGGACGCGACAGCGGCAUUGUCAGGACAUUCGCUCUGGCCAUUUGUGGACUGUGGAGCCUGGGCCUUUGGGCAGGCGCGCAGUCAGCUGUGAGGAAGCGGCCCAUAUCCUACGGUGGGGCAGAGUUUUUGGUCAGAACGUAGUCCGAGCUUGGACCCGGGACGCGUGGAAUGCCGCGCGUGGGAUCAUGAGAUCGAGGAUACACCGAGUGUGGUACGUGACCCAAUCCAAGGAUUUGAUGUGGUUUGGGGUCUUAGUUGCUCCUGAUUGGAGUGUGUGCGAAUUCUCCAAUGAGGAUUUCGCCCAAUAACGAUGAUUGGGUCUACGCUAGUGAGCGAUAGAUGCUACGCGUAGUUGAGACGAUGAUUGGGUCUACGCUAGUGAGCGAGAGAUGCUACGCGUAGUUGAGACCGGUUUAGGCGGUAGGCCUACGUAGGAUUGGUGACCCGUGGUUCACCUAUGGAUUUGAGGAAAGUGGUUGAGCGAGUAGCCUCAGCGAUGGGUGUGGCUUAGAUUUACGAGUGGGAGUUCAUGUGAAUUCGUUGCAAGGACGAGUUGAUGAUGAUCGUGGCAUAUGGUAUUCAAGGAUAUACUGCUCGUGCGGGACAUUGGGCUAUUGGACGCCACGAGAGGUAGAGAAUUGAAGUUGAUGCUCCUAAGUGAAUUGGAGCUUGAGAGUAAUGCACUUUUGUGGAUUGAGAGUGGAGAUGUGUCGGAACGUGCCAUCUCGUAGUAGAGCAAGGAUCCGGUUGGGGACUGGAGCACUCGCGAUUGGUCGAUGCACCAACGAUAUUGCCUCUAAGCAAUGCCGGUGAUCGAAUCGGAGUGAAAUUUCCCGAUUGGAUGUGUAAUGCAAAGAGCAAUUCUUUGCAUGGUGGUAAUGCACUUUUGGACUUACACAUGGCAAAUGUGAGUGAAAUUGGUCUCACAUCCUCCGUAGUGGGCCUUUGGACAGUUCCGAUGAGUAAAAGGCCACUUCGAGAUGCGAAAGUGCAUUGGAACCCUCGACUUUCGAUAAGUUGAGUUGAGGUGUGAGUUGAGUUGAAGCGAGUUAGUUUCGGGGACGAAACUCUUUUAAGGAGGGGAGAAUGUAAGGUACCGGACUUCUAAAGGUAUGAAGUUACGGUGUACGUUUAAAUGGUUCCGGUGAGGUUGCGUGUAAAUGGUAAUAUGACCGGAUGUUAAAUAUAUAAAAUAGAAAUAAAAUAAAAUAGUAUGAGAUACUAUUUUUAUUGGAUUAUAAGAGUGAAAUAUAGGGUGGGAAUGACCUGUGUAGAAAAUCGGAAUUAAAAAACGAAGAUUUAGAAUUUUUUUCUUGGAAAUGCGACAGGAUAAAUUAGCAGAAAUCACAACAGUUCCAGAAACAUAUGAAAAUUGCAAGAUGUCAGAAUAUUUUAUGAAGUAGAUUAAGUUUCAUAUUUUCUUUUUGGGUUUUUGACACCCGCAGAGUGAGAAAUAAAAUCACCAAAGCUAUCUGAUAAAGAUUGCAGUUCGGUCACAGUUUUCAGUGACCAAACGGGCGGCCUGGGUCGAAACGAACCAGUGAUCGUCAGCUUGUUUAAUUAAGUUAAACCAACAAUGAACUGCAUUUUGAGCUCAAACCGCGACAUUUCAGGGAGCUCCGCGAAAGAUAUCAAGAUUUCGAGCUGCCUGGAGUGAAUUAUGAAUUUUGACGCAUAAAGUGCUAAACGGACCUUAAAUCCUUCUUUCCGCUCCCUCAACCGUGCUACCACAACGCACCGCACACACACAACAACACGCAAUACAUGAAAGGAGAGAGAACACUUCCCUUUUUCUCUCUUAUAGCUCUCCCAAAAAUAAUGGAUUUUUGGUGGAGAAGCAAGCUUGAAUUGAUCUUAUCAACUUCAUCCUCUCCUUCUCCAUUGGAGCUUGAACUGAGAGGUAAGCUUGAAACACCCUUUAAUGGUUAGAAAAUUGUAGGGCUUCAAUAUAUCUCUCUAUAAAGGAUUUAUGGAAUCCUAUGAUGCUAUAAUGAUUGCUUGCCUAAAUCACGAUCAAUUUAAUGUUUCUUGCCUGCAAUAUAAACCUAGGGCUCUAAAAUGCAAUUUUGCUACUACUAGGGUUUGAUCUCGUUUGACCCUGGCCGUUAAACUAAUGAUAGGUAACGAACGGAGCUGUUGACGAAGACGGUUCGGCGACUUCGUCCGAGCCGGUGCGAGUAUUAGAGAAACGGACGUUUAGCAUUCGUUGUCGCCUCGACAGGCCGAGCGACGUACGUAAAAUCAUGGAAUUGAUUUGAGGCACGUAACAACAAAACGAGGAGCCUUUCUGCGCGACGGGGCGAAGCGAUGCGCGGUUUGGUGCACAAUUCAAGUUCGACGUGAACACGGCGCCGAUGCUAACGUGGAGGCCGAUUCGCAAGUGUUCGAACAAGCAACGGAAUGCGCUAGCAGGUGGGCUUGUUGCUUACUCGAAGCGAGCUAGGUUCGGUCUCUGAUCGAAGAAAAAAUAUAUUUCCUAUUGAUGCAGUAAAUGGGUGAAAUUGUAUAGAAUGCAUAUGAUGAAGAUUGGGUAAAUGCAUAUAAUUUGAGAAAGCUAUAUUACAUAAUAAUUGCAUAUGAAUAUAAUGCAUGCAGUGGACAAUGAUGUUAAAUGUUAAAUGCAGUAGUCGACAAUGAUAGUUAAUGUUAUGCAUCUAGGACAAAUGAUGUUAAAUGUUUAAUAUAAUGCAUGGCUAGUGGCAAGUUAAUAAUGUUAUAUGUUUAAAUGAAUGCAAUGAUACUAAUGUUAAUCGAAAUGCAUGAAAUGAUGUUGUAGGAAUGCAUCGGGAUAUAAUUAUAAUAGAGGACAUAUAUUGGUUUGUCUAAUGAUCUAUGUAAUAUGGAACAUAUGCUGUUAACCGGUAUUUGUAGACUAUGUUGGGUAACAUAUGCUAAUUAACAUAUGCAUUGACUUGAGUUUAAAAUCUUGUAUGAUUACGAAAACUUGACAUUGGCAAAUACAAUGCUAGUUUAAUUAUAAUGAUAGUUUGGUUUCCUACCAAUGAGAUGAAUAAAUGUGGAAUAAGACCAAGCUAAAUGAGACAACCUAAGAAUUGGGUAAAAGUAAUGCAUCGAAGAACACUUGAAUUAUGACGAGUGGAUAUAUGAAUCUAGAUGUUAGCUGGAACACUAAAUUGAUGGAUUAAAAACCUAUUGGUUCAUGUUGAUACAUCCCCCCUUACGCCUCUGAUUGAUAGGCGUGCUCCCAAUUCUGAGAGAUGUGAUCGGUGCUCACAUAGCCUGUCUGCGCUUGGAAGGGUCGUCCCCACAAAGCUGUCACUCCGAGGUUGGUCACCGAGGACAGUCAGUGUGCUGUCUGCGCGUCUGUGUGCUGUCCUGAGGCGGUCUCGGGGACAGUUCAUGAGACGUUCUCCCUAUGAAUUUUGAGAUGUGAGAUUAGAGGGCGACCCCCUUGGUAGUUAGCCAAGUGAUUUGGGUAACACAGUUCAUGAGCUAUAGUUGAUUGUCCUACUUGAGGGGUAUUUAAGGCCGAGGUGCAAGUGAGAUGUCCUUCGCCUCGGCCUGGCUUUGUGCGGUACUCCGCAGAUGAUUACUCAAGACCGAGAUCGAGCCGGCUAGCUUUGUGUAAAGGUAGAUAACCUUAUGAUUAAAAUGGUAAAUGACUAGAAAACCUACAAUGUCAAUUUGAUGAAGGUAAUCGAUUGAAUACUAUUUGGUUGUAUAUUGUAUUAUUCGCGAUGAUCUUCGUAUUGCAUAUUCGCGACGGCAAUGAUGUUAUUGUUAAUUGCAUGCAUCUUAUUAUCCAUAUCUAUCUGUUUAUUGAACUAACCUGCAGCUUGCCUCCUUCGGACAUGUCGGUCGAGCUUUUCCCUUGGGUGGCCGUACCCACUGGGAACUAUGGAGUUAGUUCUCACCCCACGUUGCUUUUGGGGUGUUACAGGUUCACACGUGAGCGGCGCGGCGGCGCGAGGAAAGGGCGUAGCUCCGUAGAUAGCGCCCUACCACAGAGACCAGAGUUAGCGGUACCCCGAGUCGACAUAUCCUAGGGGUAUAGAGAUGAAAAGAUUAAUGUAUUGAAUAAAUGAAAAGAACAAGAUGUACUAUACUUGUAAAUAAUGAUGUAGUAGCUUAGAUUGCAUUUGGUUGGAAGUAAAAGUAAAAAUGUAAUUGAGAUGUAAAGUGCGUAAAUGUGAAUGCUUGUAAUAAUAAUAUAGGAUGUGUUUAUGUUGUUGAUACCUUCCUUAUGCAAUCGUUGUAUGUUGAAUACUGUUCCUGUUUGGAACCUGUUGUAAUUGUAUUGAUUGUGAUGCCUUGAACGUACAGGGGAGACUCUGUCCGUAGUGCAGGGGAAACUCUGUCCGUUCGGCGCUGUCGGCGCCGCGACCCUGACCAAAUAGGCGGGUGGUCGCGGGCUGUGACAAGUUACUUCCACAGUCACAUACUUCACGAAUUUCAUUAAAUUUUGUUCGGUUUAAGAUAGAAAAUACGUAUUCAUUGCAAAUAUACCUAAUUACGCCAUAAUAGAACAGUAUUAUGUUGUUUUAAAUUUUGUUUGUUUGAAUGUGGAACACGUAUUUAGUACAAAUAUUCACUCUAAUUUAGGGAUUAGUAGAAUAGUGCUACACAAAUUUACUGAUACAUAUUAUUUUGUUUGUAUCCAUAUAAUUCAUAAUUUAGGAUGAGGGUUUAGAAAUUUUCACUUAUAUACUACAGUGAUACACACAAACAUACGGUUUAUAUAGAUAAUUCAUAUGAUUAAGUUUUGUUCGUUUGAAUAGAAAAAAUAUAUAGGAAAUAUGUAUUAAUUGAUAAUAUAUUCUCUUAUGGAUUAGUAGAACGGUGCUAUGAUGUACGCUGAACUUUAGCAAAUUGCAAGAUUCUAUUGUUCGAAUAGUAUUUAGUACUAUUCUUGAUGUGUUUGAGGGUCAUAGACUGUGCUUCAACUUAUUUACUUGCGUCUUGGGAAGCGAGAGUGAAUACUUAGCACCAAAAUCUCCAAACUGUAGGUUUUGGGGUGCUGGGUACGGGGUACCGGUACCACAGAGGGGUAUCGGAACCCCGAUGCGUAGCUGAGAAGGGUGCUCUCGGGUUUGAGCUCUGGGAGCUAGGCCGAGUAUCACUACUGACUUGGCCGAGUACCAAUACUGCAUCGAGCGGGUACCGGUACACCGCAAGCUGCCUUCUUGACAAAGGCUCGGGUUUGCGAGAAUGGUUGUUAAGUUCUGGUACUCCUGUCUGCGUACCGGUACGCAGUGCAGCGAACUGCUUUUGUGCAGUUUGCAAUUUGGCUGUUUGUGAGGGGCUUUGCGGGGAUUGUUAAUUACCACUUGUAUAUAUACCCCACCUCCUUUCUACUUAGCCCUUGUGCUGAGGACUUAGAAAAAAAAAAAAAAGGUGAGCUCUCUUCUCUUCUCCUCUCUAGAUUUCUUCUCCUUUAUUAGAGAUUAAGGUGGAUUGAUCUGUUCUCUCUUUUCCUCUUCUAUGGGUGGAUGAUCUUGAACCUUGGAGAAGCUUUGGAGUUGAAGGUUUAAGCUUAGUUGAGGAAUUAUCUCCAACCCUAGUACCUUCUUAGUUUGGUUUGGAGCUCUAUAAGAGGUUAGUAACCUUGAUUACUCCUAUUACUCCCUUGGACUGUACUUUGUUGAGUUUUUGGGGAGUUAAACCAAGUUUUGGAAAACUAGGAUUUUAUUUGGGUUUUCUCUUGGUAGAGCCUUUGAGGCUAAAUUGUUGGUUCCAAUACUUCUAUUUAAGUUGGAAUUGAAGCAUCCUAGCCUUCAUUGGGAUUUUGGGAGAGCUUUUCGCCAUUUAAGGUAUUUUUCACCUAUUUAUGGCUUGAUUUUUGAGGAAUUUCGUGGGGUGUUCGUUCGAAGCCCGUAACCCUCUUGAAAUUUUUGUUAGGGAGCUAGAAGUUAGUGGGCAACCUCGUUCGCGCAAACGAAAGGGUUUCGAGGGGUAUCCGGUGGAUUUCACCUCACCGAAAUGGGUGAACUCCUCCUAUGUCAUUUCGUAUGGUUUAAUAUGGAAAAUUAUGCUCUAUUAUGGCAUAAGAGUGUUUAUUAUAUCAAAAAAUUAAAACUUAAUAGGAGUGUUCUAUUAUGCUCUAAUAUUGUUCUAUUAUAUAUAGCAUAAGGGUGUAAGAUUGUAACGCAUACAUGUUCGCAUUAAAACCUGAUAAGAGUGUUCUAUUAGGAUUUUUUUUUUUAUAAACUAACUCUCUAGAAUUUUAAAAUUUGUGAACCCUCCCAAAAUUAUAUUUGUAAAACUAACACUCCUUUGGCCACGUAGGCGGGAGGGAAAAUUUUUCUUAUGAAGGCGGUGAGCGAUUUACCAUCUUACUAAUAUAACUAAUAAAGACGGUGUUCACUGCCUUUUGCUUAUUUAAUAUUUUUCCUCCACAGCCGCUAGUAUAUUGUACUUAAUGUGGCUUCCUAAAUGAAUGGCCUGCAACAUUCCUAAUGUUUAGCGAUUGAAAAUAAGAGGUUUUGGAUGUAAUCUACCAUUCGAUCAAAUGACAUUAAAUGAACUGAUCCAUGAUCAAACUAAUGCCUUUGUGUUCUCUUAUGACAUGAUGUGCAGCAUUAUUUAUGAUGCUUUACCUCAUUAAUUUCUACAGGGGCAUGGCAUUAAGAAGGGGCUGGCCUCAAUGCUCGCAAAUUUAAAACCUCAAUUUCUCAGAUACCCAGGUUCAUAUGAAAUUUGCUCUCUGACUACUUUCAUGCCUUAGUUAUUCAGCUAACUGUUAUUCGUAAAUAAAUGAAUCAUGCAAUGUGUGUACCAGCAGCUGACAAGUAUUUUAUCUCAACAGGGUAACUGGUGCCUCAAGUACAACAAACUGAAAAUAAAUAUUGAAAGGUACAUUUAAGAGAUUGUUGCAAUAUUUAGAUUGUUGCAAUAUUUUGGAGUUAUUAAUCCAUGUUCUGAUUAAUCCAUGUUCAGCUUGUGUUUCAGCUCCCUUUAGCAGAGUAAUUAAUCCAUGUUCUGAUUUGGGAUCUUUUAAUACUCUAUUUCGGUUGAUGUGAACUUUGAAUGCAUGCAUGAACAUCUUGUGUAGCAUCUCUAACUCCAUUUACUCGAUGGGUAUAUGAUAAUUGGUUAAAUCAGCAAAUAAAUACUUAUGAUGUGAUUAUUCACUUGUAGAUGAAGCUUGUUAUCUUGAAAAGUUAUAAAUUUUUCGCUUAUAUUGUGCAUUUUACUUCAUGCUACUUGUUUCUGAUACUGUAUGACUGGUCUGAAUUGGUCCUUAUUGAACUCACUACCUGUUCAACAGUAUGCUUACGUGUCUGUCCGCCGUCUGCUUGAUGCUUGUUCGAUGUGUAGAGUUCCCUAAAUUUGUUCAUUUCGGUGCCCUUAUUUUCAGCAUAUUUAUGAGAAUUAGGUGCCCUUGAAUGGUUUGGGUAUGCUUUAGAUACGGGCCUUGGUGUGUCUGCUUCUGUUUGAUAUUUGUUCUAAGUAUGUUUAUAAUCUACAAUCUCUUUUCAAAUUGUUGAUAAACAUAUGUGGGUAUCAUUUAGCAUUGCUUUCUGCUAAUUUCUCAGACUGUUUGGUCUUGUAUUGCUUCCAAAAUUUUCAGUUAUGGCAUAUAGACCGACUAAAUGUGACACUUUGGUUCUUUUAGUAAGAAGUCGUUGUAUAUAAUACUUUUCUAUUUCUACGAUUAACUAUGUAACCAUGAAGUUCUUCAUCCCAGAAUAAUAUGGAAAUUGGCGUGGUAUUCGGAAUUCAUGUGGAUUAGGUUGUAGUGUGUGGUUAGGGGUACAGUAGGGGAAAUAGGAAAAUGACUUUUAUGGUGAUCAUUUUGGAUAGUAGUAUUAACAUCACUUGAAUUUGGAUAGCAAUAUCAUCAUCGCUUGAAUAAUAUGUUAUUCGUGCCUUUUAGCUUGAGAAUGUUGUGAAUUUUACUUGCGUUCCGCAGAUUAAGUUGUUGUUUGAUUAGAUUUUGCUUAGUAUGAAAGAAGGGACCGUGUGUCAAUGUAAUAAGGUUUCAGCUGAAAGAAAUCCCUCUCAAAUGCAUCUUGAUCUUUAGUCUUAACACUCAGAACAACUAGUUGGAGCUUCUGCACAAGUGUUGUUUAUAUAGAGCCGUUCGAGGGAGCUCUAUCGAAAUCCGUCAGCAGCUUCCUGCAGCUGCUACGAGAAGAACCUUCAAUUGUUGCUUCUCCUUUUGGAUAAUGCUGCAGCUAGAACAUCUAGACUUUCUUUGUUGGAUGCUUGGCUUUGACUACUUGAUUAGAGAAGUUGUUCUGGGAUCUGGGCCAGAAAUGAUUUAAAUUCGUUGGGCUAAAAAAGGAUCUGGCAAAAUUACUUGGACAAGGUUGGUGAGACAAAAGUACAAAGAACUUGCAUACUGCAUGAAAUUAGAUUGCUAUGGCACAAAGAACGUUUGUAUUUUGUCUUACAUUGUCAUGAGUAUUAGCCCCUGCUGCAAUAAUUUUAACAAAUUAAGUUUUUAUUUACUCUGAUGAUUUGAUCCCUUCUGUUGAAAGCAGAACCUAGUUUGCAAUAGCUAAUGGACUUCCAAAAUUUCAGUUUAUAGUAGGAGAUGGUAAAAAUAUGUAUGACUUCACAUAUGUGGAGAAUGUGGCCCAUGCUAAUAUUUGUGCUGAGAAAGCUCUACGUUCAGACCCAGCUUCUGUUGCUGGAAAGGUAUUGUUUCUAAAGAUAUUGUUGCCAAUUCAUAUUCAUUGAUCAACCAACUGCUUUUAUGGCUGACGUUUUUUAUUUCUCACUACUUAAUGGCAGUCAUUUUUUGUUACAAAUGAUGAGCCAGUGGAGCUUUGGGAGUUUAUUUCUAGUAUACAAGAAGGCUUGGGAUACCAGAGGUACCUUCAAUGCAUUUUUCAUUGUCCAGCUGUUCUUUAAGGUUUUGUCUUGAUUCACAUAUUUGCCUUGAGAAUUGCUCUUGAGAACAUGUUUUUUCCAAAUGGAAAAAGUUGUGUUUGAGUAGAACUGUUCGAAUAGACCCAAGCACUUUUUUGUUAAAUCCCUCAAUAGGUUUCACCAGGGCUAAACACUCAGACCUCUUUUUUCGUCAAAAUAUCAAGCUUCUACUUAUAGUAGAGAAGAUAUUUAACUAGGCUAAAUGAACAAAGAAUGGACGAGGCAGUAAUAAUGUUAUCUUUAUUAGUUAAUUUCAUGAUUAUGAGUGGAUUCUGAUUUCUAUAUCCAAAUAGUAGCAACGACUAGCUUUAAAUUCUUGGAAUUUACUGCUGAUUGCAAAGAUUUGAGCACAAAGACAACUAAUCAAUAUUCUGUCAAAUUGAGGGGGUAUGUAUUUUCCUCUGUCAUUUUUUUUGAACCAAAUUCAUUUGUUUUUUCUUGCGCUUACCAAAUUUAUUUGUUUUGGCAAUGAAGCUUCAGUACUUUUCCUGCUUAAAUUAAACUCUUUACUUAGCACACAUCUUUCGUUUUAUCAUAUAUCAGUGGAUUACUGAAAUUUCCUUCAAAUAGCUGUAGAUUGGAUGUAGGUGGUUUCCUUCAAAAAGUGCUGAUACUAUCUGUUUCAUUCAGGGCCGCAAUUAAUAUUUCUGCCAAUCUUGUAUUCCUACUUGUUCUGCUUGCCCGAAAGUUUAGCGAAAAGGUGUUUUUGCAUAGAAUAUCCAAUCCAAUACCUGGUCCUGCUGCGGUUCACGCUCUCGCAUGCACGAGGACUUUCAGUUGUUCGAGAGCUAAAAGCAUUCUUGGUUAUUUUCCAGUCUUAUCAAUGGAGGUGAGCUGGUUUUAAAUUUCGUCUAUUGCAAAAAUACUUAUACUCUUUUUGUCUUUUUCAAUUGGCUUCCAAGCUUAUCCAUGUUUUUGAACAUCUUCAAGCUUCAAUAGUUUUUUAAUCAGUUGCAUGGUCUGUACACUUUGACCACUUUACAGGGCAGGUCAAUUUGAUAAAGCCCCUGCUGAAGCCAGGUUAUGAGUUUGAUCAGCUUUUGGUGCUAGGUAAACUUAUUUCUGCAUUAGUUUUUCCAUUUUUUGCUACCAUAAUCAAUUAUCUUUUAGCUUUUGUAUAAAGUCAUCAUUUUGUUUGCCUUUUCCCCCUUCUAUUUACAUACAUAUAUCUAGAUUAUGUUGUGGAAUGGUGCUUUAUAUUAAAGUGGAAUUGUAUUGUGAUUUUGGUCUAUGAUUUGUUUUCAUGGAUGCUUAACGACUUGGCUCAAGCUCUGACAUGCUCUAAGAAGAAACUCUCAAUAUCUGACGCACCGAUACUCUGUUGUUAUUUUUUCCGUUUUAUUUAGACAAACAGGGUCUUUUAGGACCCGGUGAGAGGUUAAAAUGCUGUGUAAAUAAAAUUAGAUGUUUGAAUUGGCCAUUCCAUUUUUAUUACAUUCAUAUGGAUAACUAGGUGAUUACACUCUAAGCGUAGUUCUUUCUGUUGUUGGACAAUGUUUGCUUUUGUUCUUCAAACAAUCAUUCAAUAUCUUCAGCAUACUCAGUUCAUACCAAAGAGAAACUUUAAAAAAAGGAUAGUAGCCUAUUUUAAUUUUACAGGCUCAAAGCCUAUUUUGAAGGAUGAAAUUAGCAACCAAACUGUUUGCCAAUUUGGCAUUUGUAGCACUUGGAAAGUAAACCAUGUUUUAGAACUUUAGUUGUUUUCGUUUCUUUAUAUGUAUUAUUUUUGUCGUGUCAAUCAUGUGUGACAUAUUUAGGUUGGUAUCUAAUUUGUAUUUAAACUUUCUCUGAUAGAGAGCAUUUUGCGAAUGCCCUAUAUAUGUGCACCUCAUUAGUGUCCCCAUAUCGUUGCUAUCUAUCCAUAUAUUAAAAGCCCAAUAUAACUGUGGCCUACGUGGCGCUUUCUCGACGCCCCCCCUCUACCGCGCGCUCUCGUGCCCGCCCCGCAUUGCAUGGGUGCUCGGGAGGGUUGCGUGUCGCCCUACCCGCGUCUCUUGGACCCUGUCUCCCGAAUCGCUCUCUCCCCAUCGCUUAUCUCGCGAUUCCUCUCUCCCGGACGCGGGCCCCCGGAGAUGCCGCGGGAUGCGGGGCGUUGUCUCCUAGCUGUACUCGCGGGCGCAUCGUGUGGCAGGAGCCCUAGAUUCCCCGGUGUGCACCGUGCUCCAACUCCUCUCUCUGCGGCGGCCGUCGCGGUACGCUUCUGGCCGUCCUCCGUACUCGCCUACCCUUGCCUGGCCAUGCCCAUCGUCGUCCUUCUCCUCGCCGGCGCCGCAUGUGGCCUGCUUGGUCCCCAUAAACUUUAUAUGGUACUUAAUCAUCACGCUCUACUCUACAACGCUUGCCCUGUCUGGCCUUCGCCCCCUUCCUCUUUGCUGCCCCUGCCCGUCGGUUCCCUCAUGCCCACCGUGCCCCUCCACCUGUCCCCGGGCUCCUCCCUCUUCCUCUCUCUUUCCAUUUNCGGUUCCCUCAUGCCCACCGUGCCCCUCCACCUGUCCCCGGGCUCCUCCCUCUUCCUCUCUCUCUCAGUUCUUGGUGGUACGGCUUGGCCCCCAGGGCAGCCUGCUCCGCUUCCCCCCAGCCCCGUCUCCCUCUUCCUUCCCAUUUGCAGCAGCGGCCUAUAAAUAUCCAGGUGCCUAUAUGCAGAAGUGCCGCGAGUUGGUUGCCUCUGUUUAUGAUCUUUAGCCUUUUGAUUCUACCGACCCCCUCUUCUUCUGGUUCUCUGUUGGGCCCGAGGCUUGACCAGUUGGUCCUGCUCUGGUCUGAGGUUUGUGGAAUCGAAUUUAACAAAUUGUUUAUACAAUACUUGGGGUGCCUGAUUUCGCCGCUUUGCCUUUUGCCUCCUAGGUUGUGUGCUUUUGUGAACUUCUUGGUGGCCGGUUCCCUUACCUACCGCUGAACUUUUGUCCUCCCGACCCUGUUUUGGUGAGUGGUGGGCCAGUCCGUUCUGAAAAAAAACCCAAAAAAGAAUGCUUUUUUUAACAAAACACUGCUGCGAUGUUUACUAGGCUUCUGUGAUAAUAGCAAGAAAGUGUAUCAGACAAUGUAAACUGAAACGACAACAGAGAGUUCUUUGGGAAAUCAUUGUUCGAAGUAAAUAUUUUAUGUACUUUCUUCAGCUUAAAUAAGAUAGCUCUAUUAUGCUCAAUGAAAAUACUAUAAUAGGCUAUGGUAAAUGAAUAAAAAACCAUAAUCCAAAGAAUCAUCAAAAGAAUAUGCAUACAAAAAAAACCCCAGGAAGAAUUCAAUUCAAAUGCCGACAGCCAAACGAAGAAGAGUAUUUAAAAAGUCAAUAAGCAGGGAACAAUUCAAACAAUUGUAUAAAUUCUGUUGCAAAACCAAUUUAAAGAAUCACCCAAAAAGAGGACAAAAAGGAAGGCAUAGCAGCAGGCUAGGGGGUGGGGUUGAGUACAAAAGAAAUUUAGCUCUUCAUUUGAGCUCCAACUCCUGUAGGAGUUGAUGAGGAGGGGCUUAGGAAUGCUUGAAUUCACUUGGGUUUGAGGUUUGUAUGAUCUAAUUAGGUAGUUUUGCACUGCUCAGACUGAAAUCCUGCAUGCCUUUUGGUUUGUUCAAGCUCUUUUUGGGAUGUAUAAUGGGGUUCAAGUUGGAUAGAGUCGGUUUUUCAGAUAAUUCGUUGUACUCAACUAUGCUAUUCGUGUCUUUGUUUGGGAUUAAAUGUGGUACCUAUGCAUGGACUCGGCUGCUUAGAUACAUUGUUGUUUUACUAAUACAACUUUGAUUCCUUCAUUCCUUUCUGUUCCUUGCUAUUUUCUCUCUCUUUUUUAAGGCGAUGAUGAUAAGUAGAGGAGAACGUGGAAAAUGAUGGCUUCGAACAAGAGGGGGUUUGGAUGGCCUAUUCAUAGGCAACCACUUCCUAUUGUUCUUAGCCUUAGUCGUUCCACACAUGUUCCUCCUGCGGUAAUCUAUUGCUUGCUCCUAUUUCUAUCCUGUGCUUGAGAGAAUUUUGCUGGCUUAACUGAGCCUUACCUUUUUAGUUUUUGGUUUUGGCUGUGUGGUUCAAAAAUAAAUAUGUUGAAUUCUUACUUCGCCAAGUUUUUGUUUGCUCCUUUAUUCUUCACUUCUUUGGGCCCAUGCUAUGAUGACCUUCCCCAUUAAUGUGAGCUGAUUGCGAUAAUUGAGGCCGCGCCAAGCCUUCUUGGUUGACGAUAGGGACAUUUUCGAUGCUGGCUUGCUCCGCCGAUGAUGAGGGUGCUUUGGUUAUGCUGCUUUGGAGGCAGCCAAUUGCUCUGCGUCUUCGCUGGUUGUAGGGGGGCUUUGGACGGCCUUUUCGUAUUCAACCAGCCCUUCUUAUUUGGCCUUAGAAUGCUGUUGGUAUACAUGUCCGUUGUAACUCAACCACCGGUUCUGGUUGUGCAGCUUUCUGCGCCAAUCUAAUAAUGUUUGAUGACCGGAGGGGUAGUCUGAGCAAAGUUUUUUUUAUUUCUUGCUCUUCAAUUUUCAUUGGUUUCUAUAUAUAACAAAGCAAAUCUAUCCAUAUAUUAAAAGCCCAGAAAAUAACUCGCGAAUUCAUAACAUAGCUAAAAUAGGAAUCACUAAGACUACAUUUGGUUUGGGAACUAAAGUUUUAGAAAACAACUUUUGUUGUUCCCGGUAUAAGUUAGAACAAAUUAUAAAUUACGUUUUGAUAUUAUUUAUUUGUUAGUACAGAAUAUUUUUGACAAUGUUUGAAUAUUUAUGUUGGAAUUAUCUUUUAUGUUUCUUAGAUUGUUUAGUUGGUGGACUCCGAUAUAAUCCAGCUGGAUCCGGCUAGGCAAUAUAUUUAAAUUAGCAUAUGAAAUUCUGAUUUCGUCACUGUGUUUUGAAUUAAAUAUGUUGAAUUCUUGCUUUGUUGUAUUUUGAUUUGCUCCUUUUCUCUUCGCUUCUUUUGCCCCAUACUACGAUGCCCUUCCCCUUGGAUGUGAGUUACUUGCGGUAAUUGAGGGCGCAACGAGCCUUCUCGGUUUCCUAUAGAGGGCUUUUCAAUGACGGUUUUCUCCACUGAUGAUGAGGGGGCUUUGGGUGGUUUGCUUCGAAGGCAGCCAAUUGGUCUAUUUCUUCGCUGGUCGUGGGGGGGGUUUGGAUGGUCUUUUCCUAGGCAACCAGCCCCUCUUAUUUGGGCUAAGCAUGAUUUUUGUACGCAUGUCCGUUGCAUCUCAGUCGCAAGUACUAAUUGUCGAUUGAUUUGGGGGAUUUCAUUGCUGUUUUACUUUUGGGACAGCUGAAUUGUGGGGAUUCCUAUGCAUGUUGCGAUCUCUGAAACUGAUUGUUAUUUUACCACAAGGAUGCUUAUCUCCACCGGUAGAAAACCUAUUGAAAAAGGUUGGAAAACAGUCCUCGGGCAGGCGACUUGAAUAAAACUUUCCUUCCUGAAAAAGUUGUCGGCUGAAAAAGCCAAGCUGUCGGAGAGCUUUAACAAAUCACUUUUCCGAUAGAUCAAAUGACCCAGAGAAGAGAACUUCGCGAUGAACUCCACAAUUGGCCGCUUGAUACUUUUUAGCUGGUUUUCAACUCGCAUUUCCACAAAAUUUGUUCUGCCAAGGGUGUAUGGGUUUCUCUGAAUGCUUUUCUGAACUCCCUGCGCGGCAGCCUUUGGAACAUGAAAAUCUUUUAAGCUAAUACUAAAGCCACCGAAAAACAGCGUUUUGUCGAGGAAGGAGCUGCCUGAGCCUCUUUGGGAGCCAUACAAAGCAACUUUAUGCAAUUUUCAUGCUUUCCCUCUCUCUAUGUUUAUAUAUAAUAUGGGUUGUUUAUUUUCUGAGUUUCUUUUACCAUCUUUGCCUACAGGAAUGGUGCCCCUCACGCUUUAAUAGAUUUUAUGCUUUUAUCGGCUAUCUACUUUGUGAUUUAUUUAUUUACUUAUGCUUUGCAUGUUGAUUUUGCCCCCUUUUUCCUUUGAUGAAUUCCCUGAUAAUUUAUCCUCUACUACUUUGUUCCCAUUUUGCAUUUUGAUUCCUUUUUUGCGCUUUCUCAUUUGCUGAAUUCCCUGGUAAUUUAUCGUCUUCUACUUUGUUCCCAGCGUAUUUUUCAUCUCCAACUUGCUCACAUUUUUAAAUAGUUUACUUGGGAGUUUUGCCUAACCUGUGGUUUUUAUUGCCCCCUCUUUACUCCUGUUUGUCCUAUGCUAUGAUGACCUUCCCCUUACAUAUGAAUUAUUCGUGAUGCACACUGGUCCUGGAGGUGCUUUGUGGUGCUAGCUUCAUAAUGGACCAACUAAUCUGUUUCUUCACCCGUAAAGGGCGCCUUUUUCUGUAGGCAACCAGUCCCUCUUAUUUAGGGUGUGAAUACUUUCGGUGUGCUAAAUCCCCAGUACUAAGUGUGCAGUGUGCGGCGCCAAUCCGGUAAUGUUGGAUGAUGGGGAGUAGUCUGAGCAAAAUAUGCUUAUUUUCACUAUUCGGCUUUCCUUGAUUGCCUUCUCUAUAUAUUUAUGAAUAGUUUUAUUUCAUUUCUAUUAAGAUUUGAUUAACCAGUUGCUCUUGCUCACAUUUNCUAUUCGGCUUUCCUUGAUUGCCUUCUCUAUAUAUUUAUGAAUAGUUUUAUUUCAUUUCUAUUAAGAUUUGAUUAACCAGUUGCUCUUGCUCACAUUUUUAUAUAGUUUACUUGGGAGUUUUGUCUUACCUAUGGUUUUUAUUGCUCCUCCUCUUGCUUUUAGUCCAGCCCUUAUAUUUUCCUGAGUUUCUCUUUACUCCUUUUUCGUCUAUGCUAUGAUGAGCUUCUCCUUACAUAUUAAUUGUUCGUGAUGCACACUGGUCCUGGAGGUGCUUUGUGUGAUUUGCUUCAUAAUGUCCCAACGAAUCUGUUUCUUCACCUGUAAAGGCCGUUUUUUUGAUGGCCUUUUUCUCUGGGUCUUAUUUAGGCUGUGGAUACUUUCGGUGUGCAUGUCGAUUGUAGUUAAAUCCCCAGUACUAAGUGUGCGGUGUGUGGCGCCAGGCCGAUGAUUUCGGAUGAUGAGGAGCAGUCUGAGCAAAAUAUGGUUAUUUCCACUAUUUGGCUUACCUUGAUUGCCUUCUCUAUAUAUUUAUGAAUAGUUUUGACUCAUUUCUAUUAAGGUUUGAUUAACCAGUUGCUCUUAUUUACCCCAAGGGAGUUUUUGCUGUCCAUGCAGGGAGUGCGCCAGUUAGCAAUGUGAAUCCAGCGGCAUUUGUUGUUUCUUGGGUAAUAUCCCAUAACCAUAUGGGUUUGAGCAAACUAUAUCUUUUUCGCCUUUUAGUUUGUCCUUCUUUUAAUUUACUCUUAUCUGCCGAAUCCUUAGUUAUCAAUUUGUUCUUCGUUUUGCGUUACCCUUUUUUAUAUUGUGCUUUGGAUGUAUCUUAUACGUCCUCACUUUUCCCUCGAGCCUUCGGCUCUAACUUUUCUGUUCCACGGGAUGGUGUCCUGUUCCUCGCAAGCCCUUGAGCUCUAUUGCAGAUUAUUGCUGUUUACACUCCCCUGCUUCAAGGGUAUUGCUGAAAUGGGAGCCUCUUGAGUGAUCGAAACCCGAGUCUUCUUGGUUGCCUAUAGGGGGGUUUACGAUUACGGGUUUCUCCGCUAAUAAUGAGGGGCCUUUCGGUGGUUUACUUCGGAGCCAACUAAUUCGUCUAUUUCUUCACUGGUCGGGGGUCCUAGGCAACCAGUCCCUCUUAUUUGGACUAGGCAUGUUUUUUGUAUGCAAGUCCAUUGUAACUCAAUCACAAGUACUGAUCAUCCAAGUUUCGCCGCCAAUCUAAUAGUGUUCGAUGCCUAGGAGGAGUCUGAGCAACUUUUUUAAAUCCCGCGCUAUUCGGUUUUCCUUAGUUGGCUUCUAUGUACAUAUUACAGAGCUUUUAGCCUAUAUUUGGAAUAUUACCUUUAUAUUUUGCCUUCACUUUGCAUAAAAUACCUUUUAUUCAGUAUGCGCCGCUUGAGUUUUAUGUACAUUAAUGCUUUCCCCUGAUUUGUUUGGGCUUCAGUGCCGUUUUCUUUGGUAGUCUUUCUUUGGUUUUUUCCCCCUCUUUACCAUCACGAGUCUUUUGCCCUGCAUUCUCUUUAUUGGGUUAAUGUGUUAUCAUAAGCCUGCGUAAAUUUGCAGCUGGGAUUUCCCCGUUCAGAUUUGCAAAACAGUUUGCACAGCAUCUGUCACGCCCCGCCCCGAAUCCACUCCCAAUUUGGCACGGUUCGGGCACAUCAGACGGACCGCCGAACGGACAGUACCUCUCCUGUCCGCCCAAGGCCAAGCAACCAGAUCAUGUACAAUUAAGCACCCAGGAAUUUGCUUAAAUAACAUACAUGAUCAAAUACGAUGCACACAAGUGCAAUACAACUAAGAGCAAGAACCACAAGUGAUAGACAAGUGUAUAAAGAGAGAUAGUCUAACUAUCACAAUCAUUCAACAUUUACAUUAUUGAAUAUAUUAUAUUUUCAUCUUCCAAAAUGUAAGUACAUGUUUUCUUCAAAAUACAAGUAGCUCUCUGAUAUCUAUCCAAAAUAUCNNNNNNNNNNNNNNNAAAGAAAAGGCUCAAGUCCCCUAUAUAUAUAUAUAGGAAACUUGGCCUCCAAGUUUCAUAGGAAACUUGGUCUCCCAGUGUCAUAAGAAACUUAGCCUCCAAGUUUCAUAGGAAACUUGGCCUCCAAGUUAUCUAGGAAACUUGGCCUCCAAGUUAUCUAGGAAACUUGGCCUCCAAGUUAUCCAAGAACACUAUUCACAUACAGUUUAGCAGCACGGUACAGAUAUUAUUCGUCUGUCCUGUCUCUCACAGAAAAUUCUAAAUCUUCUGUUUUCGCUUCCAUUUCAACACGGGUCACUCUAGACUUAUAAUUUACUUCUAUAAAUCCAAUAAAAAUAGUAUCUCAUACUAUUUUUAUUUAUUUCCAUUUUUAUAUUUAAAAUCCGGUACCUUACAGCAUCACUUUCCUGUUUUCGUAUGUGCAAAAUCGUGCCUGCUUUUUCCUGGAAAUAGUCAGCUUUGUUUUGAGAGUGUAAUAACUUCGGGUUUUUUCAUCCUAUGCUAUGAUGCAUCGCCCCUUCAAUGUCGGAUCGUAGCAGUUAUUAAGAGUUGCACCAUUCCGAUUCUCGCGGGUGUUCUAGGCUGGUGAUGGGAUCAUUUGCAAUGGCUUACUUCGCAGUAAACCAGUUGCUCUUAUUUACUCCACGGAUCUUUUUCCUGUCCAUGCGGGGAGUGGGUCAGUGGGCAGUGUGAAUCCGGUGGCCUUCGUUGUUGGUUCAGUAAUAUCCAAUAGUCAUAUAAGCCUGAGCAAACUAUAUCUAUUUUUACUUUCAGUUUCUGCUUCCUUUAAUUUACUCUUAUCUGCUGAAUUUUUGGUUGCCGAUUUGUCAUUUGUUUUGCGUUCCCCUUUUUUAUAUUGGGCUUUGGGUGUAUUUUAUAUGCGCUUACUUUUUCCUCGAGGUUUCAGGAAAAAUGUGAGAAAUGGAAAUUUACCGUGCAAUUUCUUAAAACUGAUUCCUGAGUUUUGAAAAUUUUGUUUCCUGGGGUACCUUCAGCUAUUGGCGUUCCUGAAAUGUCUGUAUCAAUUUUGGGUUGUCCUAAUUUUUGUGGAAUUCCUGGAAAUUUAGUUUUUUUUUUUUUUUUUGAAUGAAGAUUGGAGACUUGGAAAUUCCGUUUUUUUUGGGGACAAAAAAAAUAUAGAGGACUGUCUUCUAUAUAAUUAUUUGAAGUUGGCUAAAAAUUGUGAUAGCAGCGCAGUUUGAAAUGAAUACCUGAAUCCUUUUUCUUUUAGAAAAUUCCAGUAGGAAUUUAAUAGUUUAUGUCGAGUGAAUUAUAGAGUAUUCCACUAAGUGAUAACAUAUUCUAUUAGGUUGCAAACUAUUCCGUCACAAAAGUUAAAAUGCUGUUGGAUUCUAACUAUAUUCUACAAACAAAUUGAUUACAUUUACAGUUGUGCCAAGUUCACUCUAGGCAUGUAGAAAAACUAAUUGACUUAAUAUUUGCGGCACAUGUUUGUCUAAGUAGAUGUAAUCUGUAAGAGCCUUUUUAUUUGGCUUCUUAUUAAGGAUCAUGGAUCUGUAUUCUAGAAGCCUAUUGAUGAAAUUUAGUAUGUGGGCUAUUACACUUUGGUUUGUUGUUCAUCCUACCUGUUUCCUCUCUUUUUUUGUCUUUUAAUUUAAAAAUAUAAACAAAACCUUCUUGAUUAAUGUGUAGAAUCAAACUUAUUGUGCUUAUCACCUGUAAAUGCUCAAAUUGACUGCUCUUUCCCUCUUAGCUUUCACCUUCUCGAACUUCUGUACCCGAUUAUUUAUUGCAACUGCAAGUUUGAUUUAUUAAACUCCUCUUUGUGCUUAUAACCUGUUUGAUUUCCUUUUUUGUGUGUGUGUGUGUGUCUAGCUGUGGUGUUCUAAUGCAACUGUGCAUAGAAAAGUUAGUGCCUUACAUUGUAACUGCAAGUUUGAUUUAUUAAACUCCUCUUUGUGCUUAUAACCUAUUUGAUUUCCUUUUUUUUUGUGUGUGUGUGUGUCUGUGGUGUUCUAAUGCAACUGUGCAUAGAAAGCUUAGUGCCUUAGCACAUGUCGAUGUAAUGUUGCAUGAAUUAGAAUAUCUUUCUUGCUCUUCUUUAAGGCUAUGAUGAUAAUAAGCAAAGGGAAGUGCCGAAAAUAUUGCCUUCGAACGAGUCGGGGUUUGGACGGAGUGGAAGUUUGGACGUCCUACUCAUCGGCAAGCGCUUCUUGCGAUUGUUACUCUUAGUGAUAGCUCACAUUUCCCUUCAAUGUUAAUCUACUGCGCAGCAGCCAUUUCCUACCGUUCUUACCCUUUGUUGUUGCGCACUUCUGCUUCCUACAGCCCGCUGCUAUCCCUACUGCUACCCUGUACUUAUGAGCAGUGUUGCUCAGCCUCCUUAACUGAGCGAUUUUUCAUGAACCAUUAUAUUAUAAUUUAUAAUGUAAUGGCGAAACCCCCUCCUAAUGUUUGAUGAUUGGGGAAGUCUGGGCAAAAUAUAUUAUAUUUAUUUUCGCAACUCGAUUUUUAUUACCUCCCUUCUGUAUAUAUAUAUAUAUAUAUAGCCUCAUUCGUGUAUCAGGUGGUGUUCUAUGCUUUUUGCUGUAAUUUCUAAAGUUGUAGGUUUCGUCAUAUUGCUUAUUCUAGGUUCAACUUAGCUAAAGCAAACUUCCUUGCACUUUGUAUUGUAUAUUUUCUAGAUGUAAUGGAAGUUAUUGCAUGAGUUAUUACACGAGCUAGAUCGUCAAGGAGAUUAGCAGAGACUCUUUCAACACCUGAUGAUAAAAAAAUUGAAUAAAAUAAAAUUAGAAUCUAAAUAAAGAUUAGUUCUCUUUUAAAUUUCUCUCUAAAAAUGUUCAUUCUGUAUGAACACUAGAGGAGGUGGUAUAUAGGGGUUUGUAAAGAGAACGAUAGAGGCAUGACGUUCCACAUCUUGAAUCCAUAUGUUCCAACCUAUUAAUUGGAAUAUUAAAUAAUAAUAAUAAAUACUAAUAAACGAGAAUAAAAAAGUUAAUAAAUAAAAUAAAUAAAAUAAUAAUAAUUAGGAAAUUUUGGAUUUUUUCUCCAACAAUUUUCCACAAAGAAACAAAAUUUCAAAAAAAAAAUAAACAAAGUAAAAUGGAAAUAAAAAAUUAAACAAUAAAAAAAAGGAAAUCAAUUAAUCAAUCACAAGGUGUUUAUACUAUGCAAUAUUUCUUUAAGAGACUUAACCUUACUUAGUGCAACCAGUUUUCAUCAGAAGGAAUCAGAGUGAAUCAGAUCUUGAACUACAUUUCUUUGUACCUAGCUUCAUCCACCGCACACACAGUACAGAAUAUAGUCCUAUAUUUACAAUUUCUACAUAUUUUCGGAAACAGUUUUUUUUGCUCGGCUUUCGAUUAGUUUUACCAGCUUUUCUUCAUUGAUACAGUUCAAUCUAUUUUUGUAUGUUUUCAGCAGGUCUUUAAUAGUUGUUUGCCAUUGCCAUCUGCGCGGUACAGUAAAACUUUCCGGCCGCGGCUCCUAUAUGGUUUGGCUUCAAAUUUCUACUCUGCUCAAAUUUUUACUUAUAGAUCCUGUUGCAUUACCUAAGUCAAAUUCUACAUGUAUAUAUAUAUAUCAAGAAUUUUGAUGUUUCAAAUUAAGUUCUAUUACCUAAGAUAAUUAGGCUAAAGUUCAGUUCCUACAAAAAAAAAUGCAAUCUAAUAGGAUAUUGUUUUCUGUUUAUUCUCGGGUUUUGUGGGUUUGAGCUAGAACUUGAGUAGGAAUGAAAUUUGUAUUGGCAAACCCUUUUGUCAAUGGCAAAGAUAGAUGUGGUGCCGUAGUCGUUGACUCCGCCUCUGAUGCCUCUCUCUCUCUCUACCUCUCUACCGGGUUGACCAAAGGGUCCUCCCAGAACUGUUCACUCCGCUUUGUCCCUUAUAUAUUUAAUGGAAUACUUCACCAAACUCGACCUUCGCUCUGGGUAUUAUCAAGUACGGAUUGCGGAAGGAGACGAGGAGAAGACCACGUGCGUGACGAGGUACGGGGCCUAUGAGUUCCUUGUCAUGCCGUUCGGCUUGACGAACGCGCCGGCAACCUUCUGCACACUUAUGAACAAGCUGUUCCAUCCCUAUCUCGAUCGCUUUGUGGUGGUGUAUCUCGACGACAUCAUGGUAUACAGCAAUACCUUGGAGGAGCACAUCGAACACUUGCGAACUGUCUUCCAAGUGCUGCGGGAGAACCAGCUGUUCGUCAAGAAGGAGAAGUGCAUAUUCGCGAAGGAAGAGGUGCACUUCCUUGGCCACUGGAUAGGCCAGGGCCUGAUUCGCAUGGACCAGCGAAAGGUGCGAGCCAUCUGCGAAUGGGAGACCCCAACGACAGUGUCCGAGUUGCGGUCUUUCCUUGGGCUCGUCAACUACUACCGCCGAUUCAUUGCUGGCUACUCUGCGAGAGCAGCCUCGUUGACGGAUCUGCUGAAGAAAAACCACUCGUGGGUUUGGACCUCUCAAUGCGCGGAGGCAUUCGAGGACCUAAAGCGAGCGGUGACAGAGGAUCCAGUGCUGCGACUACCCGACUGCAGUCGCACCUUUGGGGUACAUACUGAUGCCUCUGAUUUUGCCAUUGGCGGUGUCCUCGUGCAGGAUGGGCACCCCAUCGCCUAUGAGAGCCGCAAGCUCAACGACAUCGAGCGGCGUUACACCGUCCAGGAGAAGGAAAUGACCGCUGUGGUGCAUUGCUUGCGAACCUGGCGGCACUAUUUGCUUGGGAGCAAGUUUGUGGUGCGCACCGACAACGUUGCCACGAGCUACUUCCAAUCGCAAAAGAAGCUGUCGCCUAAGCAGGCGAGGUGGCAAGACUUCUUGGCGGAGUUUGACAUGGAGAUGCAAUACAAGCCCGGGAAGGAAAACCGCGUGGCUGAUGCUCUCAGCCGCAAGGCUGAGCUUGCAGCCGUGUGGCAGCUUCAAGGGACGCUCCGCGAUCGACUUCGUUCAGGAACCAAUGAGGACCCUAUCGCUCAAAAUCUGGUGCAGCUUGUCAAGGAGGGCAAAACGCGAAGGUUUUGGCUGAGCGACGGGCUGCUCCUCACCAAGGGGCGACGGGUGUACGUGCCCAAGUGGGGCAACCUUCGCCGCGAGCUCAUCAAGGAGUGCCAUGACUCCAAGUGGGCGGGCCACCCAGGUCAGAAGCGAACCCUGGCGUUGCUCGAGGCCGCCUACUUUUGGCCGCGGAUGCACGAAGACGUGGAGGCCUACGUGCGAACCUGCUUGGUGUGUCAACAAGACAAAGUUGAGCACCAGCGACCUGGCGGACUCCUCGAGCCUUUACCUGUGCCUAGCCGUCCGUGGGAGAGCAUUUCGAUGGACUUCAUCUCCGCCUUACCAAAGGUGGGGGUGCUUGGGUCCAUUCUGGUGGUGGUUGAUCGUUUUUCCAAGUACGGGACCUUCAUUGCUGCGCCGGCCGAUUGCACGGCUGAAGAAGCGGCACGCCUCUUCGUCAGCCACAUCGUCAAGCUUUGGGGGAUCCCCACGAGCAUCGUGAGCGACCGCGACCCCAGGUUCACUGGCAAGUUUUGGACCGAGGUGUUCAAAAUCUUGGGGUCGGAGUUGCUCUUCUCCACCAGUUGGCAUCCACAGACCGACGGGCAAACUGAGCGGGUGAACGCUCUGUUGGAGGAGUAUUUGCGGCACUAUGUGAGUGCCAAUCAGAAGGAUUGGGUGCAUCAUCUCGAUGUCGCCCAGUUUGCUUACAAUUUGCGGCGCAGCGAGUCUACAGGCUGCAGCCCCUUCGAGUUGGCGAUCGGGCGACAACCACUUGCCCCUCACACGGCUGCUGCGGGAGAGCAGUUCCGCAGCCCAGUUGCUCUUCAGUUUACCACUAACUUGCAGGAAAAGGGUGAAAUUGCAAGGGCGAACUUGGAGAAAGCAGCACGACGGAUGAAGAAGUGGGCUGACGAAAAGCGACAGCCUCGGGAGUUUGCCGAGGGCGACCGCGUGAUGGUCAAGCUUCAUCCGCAGCAGUUCAAAGCCUUGCGGAAGGUGCACAAGGGACUGCUGCGCAAGUACGAAGGCCCAUAUACCGUCGUCAAGCGUGUGGGCAAGGGGGCCUACAAGCUGCAGCUGCCCGCAAACCUCAGGAUCCACCCUGUUUUUCAUGUCAGCAGGUUGAAGCUGUAUAACGAAGACGCGGAGGAUCCAAGCAGAGGAGUGUCGCAGCGAGCGCCUCCGACCAUGGUGACUUCGUUCGACAAAGAAGCGGAGUCCAUCCUGGACACUCGACUCAUUCGGCGACGUGGGGUCGUGCCGAAUCCUGAGUACUUGGUGAAGUGGAAGAAUCUCCCAUUUGGCGAGGCGAGUUGGGAGAAGGCGGACACACUUUGGCAGUACCAAGCGCUCAUCGACGAGUUCCAGAAGCAGCGCGCGACGAGGACGCCUGCGCAUUAGGUGGAGGAGGGUGUCAGGGACUUAGAAAAAUUUCUAUGCAGCCCGGUCCCUGGCCCAAAUCUACUUAGCGAGUUCGGGUUGAAGAUGGGUCGAAUCGGGUUGGCAAGUAGACCCAAACCCAACCCGCUAUGGGAAACUCAAGGGUUAUGAAACUUAUGGGAGUUAUGGGUGACUCUUGAGCUUUUGGCAUUUAUGAGGGCUCAUUAUGUGGGUUCAUUAUGUAUGUAGUGGGUGAGUUGAAAAGGCACCUUUAGGCCUAUAAAUAGUGGGGUUGGCUAAGGCCAUGACACACAAGAGGGAGUUUGUGUGUGUGUGUUGUAAUCUCUUUUCUAAGUAGUGGAGUACUUAGUUUUUGAGUGAACCUCUACAUCUCUCUCUUUGUCAUUCCCUUUGCAUAUUUAGUCGUAGGACGCGAAGGUCCGGACUAGCAAUAGGGACGAAGGCUUGCCCAUCUUCGAGCAGGAAGGCGGGCGCCGCACGGGCUUUGCGAACAAAAACGCUAAGUCCGUGACAAGCAGCUUAGUUAGCGUACAGAUAAUUUUAAGUUAUAGUUUUCUAAAUCUGUUUUUUGGAUACGCCCGUAGCAUGGGUUCUGCUAAGUGUGAAUAUAUAAAAUUUGUUCGACCAUAUAGCGUGUGUACUGCAACAUAUUGGAGUGGCGCCUUGGGACGAAGCUUACCUACUAGAUUUGUUAGGCUGCGUCCCGAUAUGGUGUGGUACAUACCCUACAUUAUUGAACAUGUUUUAAUAUAUUUAUGAUUACUAAAAUCUGUGCUUCUGUUGUAUUUAGAAAACUCGAAUUGGUUAAUUAUAAGUUAGAUUUAGCUGUAUGUUAGCUAAAUAGUUGCUUUCCAACACUAAAUAAUUCUACUAUAUAUCUUCGCAAAUUUAUCGUAGUAUACCCGUGUUACCUCUAUCCUGGCAGUAAGUGUUGGUAGAGAAAAAAAAAAUUUUGGGGGAUUCAAUUUGCAACUGGGAUUUUCUCAGAUAGGUAAGAUAGGUGCAUAUUUCUCACUGUGUGGAUAGUGUGAGCAUUUACAUAAAAUACUUAUAGAAAAAAUGUUCGAGUACGCUUGAUGCCCAAUUUAUAAAAAAACUAUACUUUCCUUUACAACCCCACAGUUUAUAGCCUGGUUUAACUUAAAAGUUUUUUGUAAAUUAGUUUUUUGUCAACAUUAGGCUAAUGCUUUCUAAAAUACUAAGCGUUAAACAGUGGAAGGCAAAAUAAAAAAAUAAUUUUACAUAUUAAGAGUUAGUAAAAAAUAAACUCUUAAGUCAUAUAAUAUAUAUUUUAUUACAAUAUUAGUAAUAUAUAUUCGCAUAAUUAAGCAAUUUAAUAAAUAAAAAAAUAUUUAUAAAUUUAUGAGGAAAAAAACAAGCGGUUUCCUCGCAAAGGUUUUAUUAUAUAAUAAAUUGUGUAUUUUGAUGCUGAAUCAAUUUUAUGUUUAUAUUAUAUUAUGUAUUCGUUAUUUUGGGCACUAAAUCAUUCUACUAUCUUUGUUAAAUUUUUAAUCCUGGAAUAAGUGUGUUGUUACUGCUUUGUCAGCAAAUUGGUGUGUCUGUUAUGAAAUGUAUAAUUCACAGCCAUUUUUCUAUAAGAAAUCCUACCACUAGGUCUGUUAUUAACCAUGUAACUAGGUCUGUUAUUAACCAUGUAAUGUUACUUUUUCAUCUGUGUAAUUCUCAAGCGUAUUUUGCCUCACGAGCCUACGGUGGAGAAUUGAGCUAAAAAAUUAGGUGGUUGCGUCGUAAUAUGCCUAUGCUGCCUGAGCCUUCAUAUUUUAAUAAUAUAAUAAUUUUAGAAAUAAUAAUUCAAACGCCGUUUUAUCUUACUUCUUCGCGUUUUGCCUUCUCUAAACAUUGCCUUAUAUUUGACCCUCCUUUAAAAAAUAGAUGUGAAAUUGUAUACUUUCACAAUUAACCAAAUUUACAUUUAGAUGUUGUUUCCAUAAAUGCUAACAGCCAAUAAAUAUAUUAGUUCUAUUAAAUUCUUUGGUGCCAAAUAAUAUUGUCGUUCCUGCUUCAGCAGCAAGCAAAUUUUCUAAUUUACAUAUAUUAAUAAUUGGAAUUAUUGUAUUUUAUUUGGCGCAUAUGUUAUCUUUUUUCGGGAAACUUUUCUCUCUCCUUUUUAGAGCUGGGUUGAUACUUAGUUAACUUCGGUUGUUAUAUUUUCUUUUGCUUUUCCCCAGCCUUACUUACGGGCCGCAUUGGAAUUAUUGUAUUUUAUUUUGUUCAUAUAUUAUCUUUUUCCAGCGAUUUUUUCUCUCAUUUUUAGGAUUGGGUUGAUACUUAGUUGACUUCGGAAUUUCCGGUUGUUAUAUUUUCUUUUACCUUCUCCCGGCCUUACUUCUGGGGCGAUAAAAUAAACAUAGAAAACAUAUAGUUAAGCUUACCUUCUAUAAUAAAAAAAAUGUCGCAUGUGUUUCUUAUCUCCGGAAAACUUUUCUCUCUCCUUUUUAGAGCUGGGUUGAUACUUAGUUAACUUCGGUUGUUAUAUUUUCUUUUGCUUUUCCCCAGCCUUACUUACGGGCCACAUCGGAAUUAUUGUAUUUUAUUUCGCUCAUAUAUUAUCUUUUUCCAGCGAUUUUUUCUCUCUCCUUUUUAGGGUUGGGUUGAUACUCAGCUGAGUUCGGAAUUUCCAGUUGUUAUAUUUUCUUUACCUUCUCCCGGCCUUACUUCUGGGCCGAUAAAAUAAAUAUAGAAAACAUAUAGUUAAGCUUACCUUCUAUAAUAAAAAAAAUGUCGCAUGCGUUUCUUAUCUCCGGGAAGCUUUUCUCUAUCAUUUUUAGGAGUGUGCUUAAUUAACUUCAGAAUUUCUGGUUGCUAUAUUUUCUUUUACCUUUUCCCAGUAUUAGUUAUAGGCCGGUAAAAUAAACGUAGGAAACAUAUAGUUAAACUGACAACCUAUUAUAAAAAAAGGGUUUUACGUUACCUAUUUGUUGUUUUUUGCUAAUUAGUAUAUCUUAGAUUUGCAUAAUGCAUUUACAAUUUUCAACGCUAAAUAAUUCUGAUGUCUUUAUUUGUUUUAUUUUUUUAAUGGGGAAUAUAGCGUCGCUUUUUUUGAUAUCAAGCAAUACUUACUUUUGUAGGGUAUGUGGUUUUCAUGAAUUUUGUUUCCCAAAACAAAUAACAUAAAAAAAGUAUUUUCGUAUCUCCCGUAAAUUUUUCAGUAGUAAAUAAUUUGAUUGGAUCUAUUUCUGCAAGAAUUAUUUGUAUUUGUUAUUUGUUAUAUUUUUAUUAUAUUGUAUUAUUAUAUUGUAUAUUCAAAUAAUACAGUUAUAAUGUUCAUCACCGAAUAAUUCUAUUACCUCUAUCAUGUUUUACAAUGUUAAACAAUUACGCUGUUUCUACUUUGACAGCAAGCAGCUCCAACUGUUAUAAACUGGCCGGUUCUCAAGCAGCCUGUUAUGAAUUGCCUCAUUCCUAAGUUGUCUUUCCUUUCAUGAUCAGCUCUAUCGGUGAGUCAUUUAUUUAUAAACUUUAAACUCUUGGGUUUUGCAGCCUCUAAUUUUUUUGGCGCUUUUCCUCCAACCCUUUAGUAUUACUACAAUUACGCUGUUUCUACUUUGCCAUCAAGCAGCUCCAGUUGUUAUAAACUAGCUAGCUGGCCGGUUCUCAAGCAGCUUCACCUGUGAUGAAUUGGCUCAUUCCUAAGUUGUCCUUUCUUUCAUAACCAACCCUAUUGGUGAGUCAUUUAUUUAUAAACUUUAAACUCUUGGGUUUUGCAGGCCUUAAUUUUUUUGGCGCUUUUCCUCUCCGUCCUUUAGCAUUACUAUUUGCGCAACCUAUGUUUUCUACAUGCCUUUACACCGUUAACCACACAGCUUUUCUUCCCCUCUUUAAUUUGCAAAUAAAUUGUUAUAAAUUAUUUGCAUGUCCGUUACAUGUUGGAUGCAUAGAUUAUAUCUUGAUUUUUUUGGACACUAUUAUACUGUGUGUUUAGAUGAUGCACUCAUAAUGUGCAGCACCGGGUAAUUCUAUUAUCUCUUCCAAGUUUUUUAGUAUUAAACAAUUAUGCCGUGUUUUCAGUUUACACUUUAAAGUUUAAUAAUGAAUGGGUUAUGAUUUAGAUAUUUAAUAUAAGUCUUUUAUCUUUUUUACUUUCGCCCAGAAUCUAGCAGAUAUCUAGAUGUAAUUCAUGAGGCAUCAUUUUUAAUCCGAACCCUUUACAUAUCUAGAUGUAACGCAUUUUUUAAAAUUCCUUAGGAAAUGGAAAGAGUUGGACGGUAAGGUUAUUGGUAAAUGUUUUACACUUUAAAGCUUAAUAAUUAAUAAUUAAUAAUAAUUAAUGGGUUACAAUUUGGACUUUUAAUAUAAGUCUUUUAUCUUUUAUGGUAUCGCCCGGAUUCUAUCGGAUAUCUAGAUGUAGUUCAUGAGCCGACAUUUUUAAUUCGAGUCUUUUACAUAAAUCUUAUAUACAUCAAAUAUAACACAUUUUUUUCCGGCGUUACUUUGGAAAGGGGAGGGGUUAUUUGGUGAGUGGACGUUAAAUAUUACAUCAGAUAUCGCCCAGUUCUUUGUCGGUAAAUUUUCUUUAUAAAUUUAAGUUUUUCAUAGACCGUCGAAAAUGAUUCAAUAAAGUUGGUGGUAAAAUUUAAGCGUAUGGCCAGUUACACUGGUACUAUAGUUGUCGAUUUGCUAACAAAGAGUUAAAUAUUAUAUCGAAUAUCACACGGUUCUUGGUUGGUGAAUUUUAUUUAUAAAUUUAAUAAGGGGAAAAAAUUUAGUUGUUAUUUUAGGAUAAUUCAAAAAACAGGGGAAAAACAAAAAAGAAAAUUGGUGGGUGGGAUAGGAGAGAGAUUGAGGAUAAGGGAAAAGGAAAAGCAGGUUCGCCUCGAGCCCUGCAAAUGCAGCGAGGCUUCAAAGUAUGUAAAUUUAAAAAUGUUUCUUGAACGAAUAAAUAGAUAUUUUUCGUUUAGAAUUCAAAAUUAAUAUACAUUUGAAAACCUUUGAUUCAUCUUAACUUUUUUCCCUAUUCGGGAGAGGCCAAAAUUCGAAAUACUUUUUCCGGCUAACUUUAAGAGCAGAUAAGUUUGCCAGUAAUAGCUGAGCGGUAUAUUUGAAAGAACAAAAUAGUGAAUUAUUAUAGGGAACCGAAUUGACUAACAGCUUUUAACUCUAGAGGUUUAUUGGAAAAAUAGGUUUGAGCAUAGAAAACUGUUAGAGCCAAUUGUAAAUGAAUCUAAUCCAAAUAUGAGUCAAAGGAAUAGUGAAUUUAGCUAAAGAUGCGCAAUUUGAAUUGAAAACAAAAAAAAGAGCUUAAAUUCCAUCUGAACAUUUAAAUUUGUAAUUAGAACUCAAAUUCCAAAUUAAAUCAUUAUUGAAAUUAAAUGUUAAUAGAAAAUUUAUAUUUGAAUUGGCAUUCCAACUUAAAAUUUAAAUUUAAAAUUCGAAUUCCACUUAACAAAUUGAAUUUGUAGUUGGGACCAUUUGAGUUCAGCAUUCAAUUUGAUGUUCUUAGCUGUAGUUUCUUCUCGAGCAGACGUGGGCGCACGAGGGUCGAGCGGUCGCCGGGCGCAAGUCGCGUACACAUAAGGGAGAGAGAGGAAGAGAGAGAGGGAAAGAGGGGGGGGGGGGACAGAGAAAUGUUAGUUGAAAAACAUCUAAAAAGCAUCAAGUAGCAAUUGUGUAGUUCAUCGUGUAGUUCUCUUCUCUGGGUUAUUUGGUCACUUCAAAAUGUUAUUCAGCUAUUGGUAAAGUUCUCCAACAGUUUCGGUUUUUGCGUCCUACAAGUUUCUCAAAGGAAACUUUUAUUCAAGUCAAUGGGUUGAGCGUUGUUUUCCAAGCUUUUUCGAUAGGUUUCCUACUGGUGGAAAUGAUCAACAAUCAAAUCUAGAAAUCGCAACAUGUAUAGGAAUUCCCACAGUUCAUCUGUUCCAAAAGUAACGCAUCUGCCCGCCUCCUUUCCCUGCCGGUUUACUGUCUCCUGUGAUUCCGCAAAGCCUGCAGGUCUGUCACCUUUCCUGUUACCUGUGGCCCCGCAAAGCUUGCAGGGCUCGGGGAGUUGCCGCAUUAUGCCGUGUCCCCCCCAACCACCACCCGCCUGUUCCUGCAAUCGCAGGUCCCGUNGCCGCUGAGCGCAGAGGGUUGUCGCCUUGUGGAUCUGUAGAUUCUGUAGGUAUCAGUAAAGACGCUCGAGUAAGAUUUUCGGCCUACACCUUUCUCGCGCAGGAGACUUUUAUUCAAGCCAACCGAUCGAGCACUGUUUUCCAACCUUUUUCAAUAGGUUUCCUACUGGUGGAAAUGAGUAACAAUCAGAUUCAGAGAUCACAACAUGUAUAGGAAUUCCCACAAUUCACCUGUUCCAAAAGUAAAAUAUCUGCCCGCCUCCUUUCCCUAUCGGUUUCCUUUCCCCUGUGGUUCUGCAGAGCCCGCAGGUUUGUCACCCUUCCUGUUACCUGUGGCCCCGCAAAGCUUGCUGGGCUCGGGGAUUUGCCGCAUUAUGCCGUGUCCCCCCCAACCACCACCCGCCUGUUCCUGCAAUCGCAGGUCCCGUUGAGUGCGAAGGGUUGUCGCCCUGUCGAUCUGUAGAUACUGCAAGUAUCGCGCUCUCUUUGAUCCCGCUUCUCAUCUUUCGCCGAUCAGUAAGCGCGCUCGAGUGAGAUGGCUAGGAUUUUUAAUUCCAAUAUGAGGGUCACUGAGAUGUUGACGGGAUGAGGUUAAGUAUGAAGGUCGUUAAUCAACUACACCGGUGCUAUAGUUUUGGAUUUCUUAGACAUAACUUUGUGUACACAUUAGUAUGUUUCAUGCAAAAAAUAGUUCCGAUAAUUCAGAAAUCAUAUUCAAGAAUACAAGGUUUAUAGUAUUUCAAUCAAGGUGUACGAUUAAGAACAACUGAAUUUUAUGAGGAGUGGAAUUCUCCCAUUUGGGAUGCACAGCAAAAAGAACAUAGGCUGCUUUGCCCUUCUAUUGGUUUCAUGCUUUCAGGUAUAAAUUCUACCAAGCUUAGGUUGUUUCAUGCAGAAACUUACAUGUCUAGAAGUUGAACCAGUUGAUCAGCGUGGAAUUAUAGAAAUUCGCCGCAUGUAUUGAUACUACUUUGCUUUAUACAUUAGUUUACAGUGAUUACAAAUGCAUACUUUUCCCACUCUCACCUCUUGAUAGUUGUUAAAUUCUUAUUUAUUUACAACAGGCAUCGAUUUUGGUUCUUGCAUUCACGUAACGUUGUAAAUUUCGCUUCGUUCUUAAAUGGAUACUGCAUCAAUUAGCCGGGAGAAUAGGAAACGGCGGAAAGUUAUUCUUAGUCGCCGGAGAAAUAAGGGAGUUAUUCAAUCUCUUGAAUAUACGCAGCCAACAAAUAUAGACUCAACUUUCAUAGACUCUACAAUUGGCCGGUUCCUCAUCUAAUUCUGCCGCAUUUUUCUAAUCAAUCGUAUCUUGGUUUACCGCAAUAUGAGUGCCAAUCAUGCGGAGCAUUACUUUGGUAUAAUGAGAGAAUUUAUAAAUCUCGGAACGAACAAGUACCGAGGUUUUCGAUGUGCUGCGAAGAAGGCCGUGUCUAUGUGUCGUUGCUGCGUGAAACACCUCAUACAUUAGAAAUUUUGUUGGAUUACCGAGUGGGGGGAUUGUCUAGAAAAUUUAGAGACAAUAUCAGAGCGUACAAUUCUAUGUUCGCAUUUACCUCAAUAGGCGCCAAAGUUGAUACAGAAAUUAAUAAGAGACCAGGUCCAUAUGUAUUUAGAAUUAAUGGCCAAAAUCAUCAUAUUAUGGGUUCUCUUCUUCCAGCUGAUGGACAUCGUCCUAAAUUUGCUCAACUUUAUAUUUAUGAUACUGAGAAUGAGAUCUCCAAUAGAAUACGAGCACUUGGCAUUGACGAUGGCGUUGAGAAAAUUAGUAGGAACAUUGUGACUGAUUUAAUUAAAAUGUUUGAUGACCAAAAUACAAUUGUUAAAGCAUUUAGAAUGGCACGAGAUUAUUUUGUACAUAAUGAUUUUAUGCCCAUGAGGUUGCGAUUAAUUGGAGCACGUGGGGAAGUCUUGCAGCAAUAUAAUUCUCCUUCAUGCGCUGAAAUUGUUGGUCUGAUAGUUGGUGACUUAGGCAGUGUAGAUCGGCAACGUGAUAUUAUUGUUGAGCAUAAAACAGAAGGCUUAAAACGAAUUAGUGAUUUGCAUCCUUCUUUUAUGGCUAUGCAAUAUCCUAUUUUAUUUCCCUAUGGUGAAGAUGGUUUUAGGCUUGGCAUACGAUGCAGGCAGACAUCCCGCAGGAAAACAAAUUCUCGGCAAUGUGUUACAAUGCGUGAGUUCUAUGCUUAUCGAAUCCAAAAUAGAUUAAGGGAAGGGAAGACAUUGGUACGUGGAGGAAGACUUUUUGAGCAAUAUAUUGUUGAUCCUUUCACAUGUAUUGAAGAAGAAAGACUGCAAUACAUUAGAAGAAAUCAGGCGAAUCUUAGAACUGAAAUAUAAAAAGGUAUUAGAGAUGCUGUUGUUGAAGGAGAUGUAGAUGGUAAUACUAUUGGUAAACGAAUUAUAUUGCCUUCGAGUUUUACUGCGGGUCCUCGCUAUAUGGUUCAAAAUUAUCAAGAUGCCAUUGCUAUCUGCAGGCACUCAGGGCCUCCCGAUUUAUUCAUAACAUUUACCUGCAAUGCACAAUGGCCUGAAAUUAGAGAUGCCCUGGAAUUUAUUAAUGGCCAAAAAGGUGAAGAUCGGCCUGAUAUUAUUAGCAGGGUAUUUAAGCUGAAAUUGGAAGUUUUAAUGGAUGAUAUUAAAAAGAACCAAUAUUUCGGUAAAUCAGUGGUUGGUAUGUCGCUAUACAAUUUAUGUUGGCCUCAACUUUACAAUUAACUUUAUCGUUUUCUUAUCGCAUUUGCACCAUUAACUUUUCCCCUCUAACAUUUGCCUGCAGAGUUAUAUACCGUUGAGUUUCAGAAGAGGGGCCUUCCUCAUGUUCACAUGCUGAUAUGGUUACAUACAGGCCAUAAAUAUCUUACAACCUCAGAGAUAAAUUCAAUUAUUUCUGCAGAAAUACCUGAUCAAAUUAAUAAUCCAAUCGGCUAUGCAUCAGUUGCUAAAUUUAUGAUACAUGGUCCAUGUGGAUUAGCUAAACCAGGAGCCCCAUGUAUGAUAAAAGGUCGCUGCUCAAAAUAUUUUCCAAAAGAAUAUAUAAAUGAAACGGUUAUAUCUGAGGAUGGAUUUCCUAUUUACAGGAGAAAAAAUAGCCAUUUUCGUGUAUUGAAAGCUGGUAUUGAACUUGACAAUAGAUUUGUUGUUCCUCACAACUUGCAAUUGGUUAUUAAAUAUCGGGCUCAUAUUAAUGUUGAGUGGUGUAAUAAGUCAAGGCUAAUAAAAUACUUAUUCAAGUAUAUCAAUAAAGGUCCAGAUAGAUCUGCAGUGGUUUUAGAAAAUAAUGUCCAUUAUACUGAUGGAGCUCCUGGAAAACAAUACAAAAAUAUUGAUGAAAUUAAGCAAUAUUUAGAUUGUAGAUAUUUAUCAGCAUAUGAGGCGAUUUGGAGAUUGUUCCAAUUUGAUAUCCACUUUAGGCAUCCAUCUGUUGAGCGGUUAUCUGUUCACCUACCGAUGAUGAAUAACAUAACAUAUCAUGGUGCUCAAAAUUUAAUUAAUGUCCUCAAUCGUCCGAAUGUUGAGAAAACAAUGUUUACGGAAUGGAUGCAUACCAAUCUCAAUUAUAAUGAUGCUCGACAAUUAACAUAUGCUGAAUUCCCAACUGAAUGGGUUUGGCAUUCAAGUGAUAAAUUUUGGUCGAGACGAAAACAAGGAUACCGUAUCGGCAGAAUAGUUUACAUUCAUCCAAAUGCAGGAGAGCUAUACUUUUUACGCAUGCUUUUAAAUGUAGUUAGAGGGCCAAGAAGUUAUGCAGAGAUUAGAACUGUACACGGUGUCGUACAUGAAACGUUUCGUGCUGCAUGCGAUGCCCUCGGUUUACUCGGUGAUGAUAAAGAAUGGAGAGAGGCAUUUGGAGAGGCUUCACAGUGGUCAGGCUCAGUUGAACUCAGACAAUUAUUUGCAACAUUAGUGAUUUACUGUGAAGUAGCAGAUCCACUUAAAUUAUGGAAUGAAUAUUGGGAAUUAAUGGCAGAUGAUAUAUUAUAUAGGCUAAAGCGUGUUUUGGGUGUGGAAAAUCUCCGAAUACCUCAACUCGAACUUCAAAACCAUGUCCUAUUUGAGUUGGAAGUUAUAUUCAACAAAAAUGGUAGUUCGCUUACACAAUAUAAUCUGCCGAUUCCAAAUAGGUUGAUUGUUGACGGAUUAAAUAAUAAAUUGCUCGCGGAAGAAUUGGAUUACAAUAGAACCGAAUUAUUACAGGAAUAUUCAGAACUCUUUGAUGGAUUAAAUAGUGAGCAGAAAAUCAUAUAUGAUGCAGUCCUACAUUCUGUAUAUCAAAAUAUCGGAGAUCUUAUAUUUGUUUAUGGUCAUGGUGGGACGGGCAAAACAUACCUUUGGAAAACUAUAAUUGCAAAAUUACGUUCUGAAGGAAGAAUAGUUUUAGCUGUUGCUUCCUCAGGUAUUGCAUCACUCUUAUUGCCCGGGGGAAGGACUGCCCAUUCAAGAUUCAAAAUUCCUAUCAAACUUGAUGAUUGUUCUGUUUGUGAAAUUAAGAAAGGCACGCACCUUGCAAAUUUAAUUGCACAAGCUUCUUUAAUUAUUUGGGACGAGGCUCCAAUGAAUCAUAAAAAUUGUUUUGAAGCUUUAGAUAAAUCCCUAAAAGAUAUUAUGGUGACAGAUGAACCAAAUAUUUGUAGUAAAUUGUUUGGAGGAAAAACUAUUAUUUUGGGUGGAGACUUUAGGCAAAUUCUUCCAGUUGUCGUUGGCGGAACUAAGCAAGAUAUUUUAAGCGCGUCGCUUACAAGAUCAUACAUAUGGAGUAAGUGUAAAAUCUUCCGGCUUUCUACGAACAUGAGAUUACUUCGAGGCUCAAUAGAUGGCACAAUGGACACUUCUUUAUUAGAAUUUAGUCAAUGGGUUCUUGAUGUUGGUGAUGGCAAAAUAAAUGCUGUGAAAUUAGAAGGUGAAGAAGAACCAACUUGGAUCAAAAUUCCUGACGACCUGCUGAUAAAAGUUAGCAAAAAUGGUAUCGAAACGAUAGUUUCAGAUAUAUAUGAUCAUAUUGAGGAAAACUACAAUGACCCUAAUUAUCUGCGAGAUAGAGCUAUCAUUACACCUAGGAAUGAAGGUGUCGAUGAGGUCAACAGCUACGUACUCUCUUUGUUACAAACUGACGCCCAAUUAUAUUUAAGCUCAGAUUCAAUAUGUAGUUCAUCAAAAAAUGCAGAGGAGAAUAAUUUACUUUAUCCGGUGGAAUUUCUAAAUUCUUUAACAUUUAAUGGAGUUCCGAAUCAUGAAUUAGUUCUAAAAGUGGGAAGUCCAAUUAUGCUGCUUCGUAACAUCAACCAAAGUGCCGGUUUGUGUAAUGGAACUCGAUUAAUUGUAACUCAACUAGCUCCUAGAGUUGUCGAAGCACAAAUCUUUACGGGCAACCAUAUCGGUGAGAAGGUUUAUAUACCCCGCAUAGUAAUGAAUGUAGUAGAAUCUAAAUGGCCAUUUGUGCUAAAAAGGAGACAAUUCCCGGUUCGCGUGUCUUAUGCAAUGACUAUUAACAAAAGUCAAGGUCAAACAUUGCAAAAAGUAGGCAUUUAUUUAUCGCAUCCUGUUUUUUCACACGGACAACUUUAUGUGGCGAUUUCUCGAGUUACUUCACGAAAAGGGUUAAGAAUUCUUAUCGAAAAAAAAGACAAAGAACCUGAGGGGUAUACAAGAAAUAUUGUUUUUCGUGAAAUAUUUGAAGAUUUAGAGUAAUAUAAUCAGGUUUGCUUCAUUUCUUUGAGAAUUACAAAAAAAUAUAUUGCAUUAUUUUUUCCAUGAUAUUAAUGUCUCUCUCCUGUUAAUAAACAGAUUCUUCAUCCUACAAUGGAAAAUGUCCUUUUAUCACAAUUAUCACUACACCAGCAACCUUGCAAAAUCAAAGUUCGUAUCUGCCGGAUUUGGGAAUCAACUACUCCAUAUUCAAAGGGAGAUAUUUUCAGUCUAGAUUGUCUAUUGGUAGAUAAGGAGGUGCUCAAUUUUUCCUCCAGCGUAACAAUUUAUACAAUGUGUUCUCUAUUUUUCUGCUGCAUAUUCUUUUGUCACAUACUUUUUUUGGGGUACCAGGAGUUUUCGAUGCAAGCAACGAUACGCAAGCAAGACGCAGAAGACCUUAAAUGCCGGAUUACAGAAGGCAAGGUGUAUGUAAUAGAGAAAUUUAGCGUAAUUCCAACUAGGAAAAAAUUUGUGGCUGUCGAUCGUUAUUACAUGAUUCAGUUAAGUAAGUCGACACAGUUUACUGAAGUUGAAGAUGAUUCAGAAGGAAUCCCAUUACACAGUUUUAAUUUCUCAACGUUUUACGAAAUUAAUAAGAAACAACACAACGAUUCGAUUUUAACAGGUACCAUUUAUUGCAAAUAUUAUUUACUUUUACAAAUACUUAUGUAUAUCUAAUAAUUGCACGUGUUAUGCUGCACAGAUGUUGUUGGAAAAAUUGCGGCUAUCGGUGAAAUAACCCACAGAUAUAUUAGCCAAUCACUACCUCCAAUCAGAAAUUUAGAGAUAGAAGAUUUUGAGUUAGUGAUUCAUAUUUGCAAAUCAUCUUAUUUCGACUGGCUUCAUUACUGCUGCUGAAUUAAUAUAAUUUAUUUUGCAGGAGAACCACUAUGCCAGCGACGUUAUGGGAUAGAUUUGCGACAGAUUUUGAUGAGGCGAAUAUUUACGAGGAAGAGAAAAGCACUCCUAUAAUCAUAAUUCUUGCUGGAAUGACAGUUCGAACGUAAGGUUACGACAUAAACAUAUAAGUUUAAAUUAAAAUGCUAUUAUUAUAUAUAAUAUUGUUGACCUAUUACUUCGGUUUUUUUUCAAUACUUCAAUAUAGAGAAAGUACAUUUAUCGACAUGCUCAGCAUCGAAGAUAUAUUUUAACCUCAAAAUCCCUGAAGUUCUGGAAUUUCUGAAUAGGUUUGCCGCUAAGUAAAGUUUCCUUUAAUUUCCCAACCUUUAAUACAUUUUAUCACUAUACACAUUUUUAUUUAAUGCAGGCAAGGCGAAGAACCUAAUGCAAUCCAACGCAUAACUUAUGGUGAACAAAAAAUCAUUUCUCCUCUAGAAGAAAUGUGCCAAAAUAGAAAAAAAAUUGCUGAGCUACUAAACCCAGACCUUUCUGAUUUCGGAGUAAGUUUAUAAUCAGAUAGCCAAAUAAAAAUUUUACUGCUUCCACUAUUUGUCAGUAUAAUUUGUUUUCCCGCAUUCUAUCUGUGAAUAGGAUGUAAAGUUCACAUGCGAAGCUAAAAUUGUGAAAAUCGAUACAUCCUAUGGCUGGUGGUAUAAAGCAUGCCAUAAUUGUAAAGCAGCCGUGAAGGAAUGUGAUGAUAUAUUCUGGUGUGCCCGUUGCAGUAACAACGAUCAAUCUCCUGUUCCAUGGUGAAAUUUACUAUACCUUUAAAAUAUGAAACCCUGUGCCUGAUUAUUAUACUGACGUUAAUGUCUAAUUCUUCUAACUUUUACAAAAUUAGGUAUAAAUUGAGCGCAGUAGUUGAAGACUCCAGCGGGGUAGCCAAUUUUACCAUAUUCGGCCAAUUGGCUUAGGAUCUUAUUCGUAUACCUCCACAAAUUUUAGCAGCAGCACCUAAUUCCGAUAAAUUUACACUUCCUGUGGUAAUACAAACAAUUAUAAACCAAACACAUAUUUUCCAAAUCAUGGCUGAUUCACAAAGAUUCAGAACGAGCACUCCAUCCUUUAAAGUCCUUAAAACUUUUACGAUCAACAACGAUGCAAAAGGUAAAAGACAAAACAAAGAUAAUAUAUUUAUAAAAUGUGAAGAUCAGCCAUACUCAUCUACAAAUAAAAAACAAGGUCAGCCAGAAUAUUUGGAGGAAAUCUCUCCCACUCUAGCCACUUCUUCGAGGUUAGUUUUUAUAUGUGUAUAUGUUUCUUAUUGCCGAAAAUAAACAUUGAACAUUUCCUAUUGACGCCAAAAUUGUUGGAUUUAUUUCUGUAACAGUUCAGCACUACCAUCUGAUCAAUUAUGUGAAAUCCCGCACAGCUCAACACAAUCGUCCAAUCAAGAAUGUGAAAUUCUGCAUAAGAAAAGACGUCGUCUUACGUACAACCCUUUUUUUCCCCCCAAUUACUUAUAUACCUUUGGAAAAACCAUGUCUUUCUACAUUACAACCUAUUUCUGGUACACGGCUAAAGUUGAAAUCCUGUUGAAUUACUAUUUUCACAAUAUGUUGUUCAAUAACUGUAGAGCAUAUUAGAGUUAUUUUUUAAAACAAAGUUGGGAUUGGACAACUAUUUUUGAAACAUGUAGAGAGUAUAUAACCAAUCAACACUGAUCAGAUCUUUUCGAGCAUCUUUUUUUCCCCCCACAGGAGCUUCAUUUGAUACUUGCCUAGAAAUACUAACAUUAUAUAAAUAACUUUGCAGUUCGUAUAAUCUUGGUGAUUUUUUUUAAUCAAGGUUUAUCUGUAAAUAUAUGCCACUUUCCAAUUGCAUGGAUCAACAAACCUAUGUUGUAUUAAAUAUAGUAUGUUUAUUCUGGACAAUAUUUAUAGUCCAAUACUAUUAUGUACUUUCAAUGUUAUGUGAAUCCUCGCUCAGUUACUAUAUUUUGGCUGUAUUCUUCGUGGAAUCUUUAAUCACCCAGCUAAAUUAUGUUUUCCAGACACCAAUCUUUAUGCUGCUCGAUUGGUUCAACUCCUAGGCAUCCAAGUUUCAGCAUGAAUCUACCUAAACUUGCUAUACUCUAUACCUGUAAUCAUUAAAGCAAUAGAUUUUCCCAAACUUUAUGUCGAAACAGACUAUUUGCUUUUCCUACGUAUCUCAAAGAGACCAAAUUGUAUAAGUUGAUUCGAAUACGAUAUACCUCGAAUUCCUUAAUAUGAAUUCCAAAUUCUCAAAACUAUUUUGUACAGAAGACCCUAAUUGCUUACUUAAAUCCUAAAUUAUUUAGUUGAAUUUGAAUGUACUGAUUUAGAAUUAUCCAAUUAAAUUGUGUUACAUGAAAAUAACAUCAAAGUCAUUUCGAGUGCUUUCUAUAAAUUCCCUAACCGAAUCUUUUUAUUUUUUUGUUUUAACAAAUCCUUCAGUUUAAUUCCAUAUCAGAUAGUUAUGAUUAGAUGUGGGGUAUAUAAUCUUAAUUAAUUGGAAUAGAUAUAAUAACUGGGUUUAAACAUUGUGGGCCGGUGAUUUUAACAUAACGAGUUAUUAUUGCAAGCGGAUCAGAUUGUUACAAUCAGAUCGUUACAUUUAGUAUCUGGAUAGGGAGGCCUCCGUGUUCCUAAACCGUUAGACGAUCGACUCCAGUAGACUUGAUCUAGCAUAUUUGAAGUAUCUAGAAAAUAAAUUUUAUGACUUCUCGAUAUCAUUCACCUAACAAUCGAAAGGACUAAAUUGUAAUCUUUUAAUUGUUAUUAAAAAUUAUGUAGAUAUUACAAAUAUUUCCCGCUGCGAAGCGCGGUCAUUUCUAGUAAAUUCAGAACUAUAGUAUCGAUGUAACUUAUCAAUGACUUUCCUGCCUAACUCCUUGCCCUCAUCAGCUCAGCCCGUUAAAUUUCUAAUUUGAACUGUAUCAAGAUAUUUUAUAGAAUUACAUGAAAAAAAAAAUUAAAUUCAACAGAAUUCUAUAUAGAACCUAAUCUUUAAAAUUUGUUAACUUAUAUUUUGGGAUUUAAAAUUGUUAAAAUAUAAUGUUUUUAUAUUGUUAGUAGUAAAUCUUCUAAUCCAAACUGCUUCAAAUAUCACAUGGUUCAUGUUUUACAACAGAAACUCCUUUCCAGUAAAUUCGGAACUAUAGUACCGGUGUAACUUAUCAAUGACCUUCCUGCCUAAUCCCUCGCCCUCAAUAGCUCAGUUACCUUGAUAUUUGAGAAUAGAAACAAAAUAAAAUAAAAAACAUGAUAUUUCAUGUAUAUAAAGUUAAAAAAACUGAAUUUUGAUCUAAACUACUUCAAGAUAUUUGAUGCAUAUAGAAGAUUCGAAUUCAAAACGAUGACUUGCCCCUUAAAUUUCCGAUUUGAACUGCAUCAAGAUAUUUUAUAGAAUUGCAUGAACAAAAUUAAAAUCCAACAGAAUUCUAUAUAGAAUCUAAUCUUUAAAAUCUGUUAGCUUAUAUUUGGGAUUUAAAAUUGUUAAAAUAUAAUGUUUUUAUAUUUUAAGUUGUAAAUCUUAAAUUCAUUCCCUUUAACAAAUUCAAAUCAUAAAUUUCAAAUAUAUUUUGGAAAAUAUAUUUAUUUAUCCAUUCCAUAUUUCCUUCUCUCUCACUCUUACUUUUUCCUGCUAAUUUUCUGCUGUUUUUUAAUCGCGCAAAAAUAGUUACUGGUAUUAUUUAGUUUGAUUAAAUUUUUAAAUAAAACUCACCAACCAGUCACCAUGUGAUAUUUGAUGUGAUAGAAACUCUCUUCCAUCAAAUUCAAAACUAUAGUAUCGGUGUUGUUUAUUGAUGAUCUUCCUGCCUGACCCUUUACCCUCAAGAAAAAUUUUAAAAAAAAACAUGAUAUUUGAAGGAUAUAGAGUUUAAAAUUACGAAUUCUGAUUUGAACUGCUUUUCCUUAAAUUUCUGAUCUGAACUGCAUCAAAAUAUCUAAUAGAAUUACAUGAAUAAAGUUAGAAUCCAACUUUCACCUAUUCCCGAUUCCCUUAAAUUUUAUAACCAACUUUAUUAAAUAAUAUUGAAUUGUCGAUUCAAAAUGUUUUAGAAAUUACAGACAUUUCCCGCCGCGAAGCGCGGGCCUCCACUAGUAUAUAUAUAGUCAUAACUUGAUUUUGUGCGCAAAUUAAGUAAUUUUGGAUGCUUGCAUGUCUUUCUACUCAGAAUCAUAAUACUACUGCAACAAGUAGCCAAACAAAAGAUCAUCACCUACUCUGCAUUUGAGUUGAUCAUCUUGAUCCAAACUUUGUGUGUCAUGUUCUCCAGAGAUUUGAGUGUGUGAAUUAUUUUGUUUGGAAACUUUUAGGUAAAGCAGGAUAAAAAGGAAAUUAAAUUAUUUUGUUUGGAAAUACAACCAGAAGGUGGUUUAGAUGUGCUUGCCUAUUUAAUUUGAGUGCUAUUGUUACAAAAUAAAAAGAAAAGCUAGACCAAAUCAGUACAAUCUAACUUUCAUAUUUUUCAGAAAUUUGAUAUGAUGAUUUUUAUUUGGUAAUUUCGGACACUGAUUUUAUGACUUCUUUUUGGUUGAUCCAGAACAGUUGGAGCUGCGAAAAUUGAAGUGGGAAGCAAGAGUUUCAAUCAUACGGUGUUUGUUAUUUUUUGGCUACAUUUUGAGCAAGUAUUUUUUUGUUAGAACUUAUGUUCGAAAUUUAAUUUGAAUACUGAGAUUGUAAUUUGAGAGUUGAGACUAUUUGUUAUAUAAAUUAUUAAUGCUUUUCGGUUAUUACUAUUUUUUAAUAUUUUAAUUCAUUGUAGUAUUUAGUUGUGAGUAUUUUUUAAUAUUAAUUUGUAAUUGCCGCUAUAAGUUUUAUUUAUCAAUCAUUUAGUAUGUUUUUUGUGGCAAUUAUAAUUAAUUAUAACGGCAUUUAUAAUAGUUUUUAUUAUAUAGUAUUUACCGGCAUUUAUAAUAGUUGCUAUUUUAUAUAUUUAGCGGCAUUUAUAAUAGUUGCUAUUAUAUAUAUUUAGCGGCAUUUAUUUGAAUUUUUACCAACCGCCGUAAUAAAUACCGCUAUAAGUUUUAGCGACCCUACCUAUAGCGGCAAUUGUCAUAAUUGCCACAGAACUAUUUAGCGGCAAUUAUAAUUACCGCUAAUUUAAAAAAUAAUUGCCGCUAAAACCUAAUUUUGUCGUAGUGAUAAUUUACAACAGAGUGUGCCCGUAGGGUAUACAAACUCUACAAAUGUAGUUUACAACAGAGUGUGCCCGUGGAGAAUACAGACUUCGGAGAUCUAACUUAAAAACUACUCUUAGGAAAGCAGUAAAUGCGAGUAAAAAAGAUUACAUUUAGACUACUCCUAGAAAAAUAAUAAAAUUGCAAGGAAAAUAAGGAUGGUCUUCUCGUUCAGGAGGGAGAAAGACCCAUAUUGUAGGCUUUGAAAUUACUAUUUAUAGUAAUAUCAACCUACAUUAUUCGUUGGUUGAAAGUAGUUGGAGUAGUUGUGACCAUGAUCGUGGAAGUUACGUCCACUUCUCAUGGAAGUUACGUCCUACUUCUCUUGGUAGUUAUGCUUCACUUUAUGGAAGUUACACCCCACUUCUCAACCAUUCCCGCCUAAACGCUUUUGACCUUUAGGCGCUUUAUUGCCGACUCUUGGUGUACCGCGUGUCUUUAGCUCAUAUGUGGGUUAAGUCGGCAUGUUAAUUUUAAUUUUGGCAUCAACAGAGAUCAGGUUAGAG
This 76790-nucleotide long non-coding RNA is filed under the name Ananas comosus (pineapple). RNAcentral's name for it is "long non-coding RNA (ACOM_LNC013467)". Lineage: Eukaryota; Viridiplantae; Streptophyta; Magnoliopsida; Poales; Bromeliaceae. The record is from RNAcentral.